This 59014-nucleotide long non-coding RNA is filed under the name Prunus persica (peach). Its description in RNAcentral is "long non-coding RNA (PPER_LNC000379)". The stretch from base 36782 to 36977 matches the Rfam family "U2 spliceosomal RNA". Lineage: Eukaryota; Viridiplantae; Streptophyta; Magnoliopsida; Rosales; Rosaceae. The record is from RNAcentral.
CUCUCUUGCUCUCUAGUUGCUGCGUCGCUCUCUCCUCUCAAAUCCCUAGUAAAUCUUGUUGGGGCGAUCCGAGAGAAAGACUCUGCUGCAAACAUGUUGGUUUACCAAGACCUCCUCACUGGUAAUUUCCCCCGUUAUUUUAUUUUCCCCCUCUCUGUCUUAAAUUAGGGUUUUAGUUUUGUUCAUAUUAGUUUUCAGGGAUGAUACGAAGUUAGAUCUCUGUUAAAUCUCCAAAUUUUAGGUUAGGCUAGGGAUCUGAUUUUGUUCACUGGCGCCCAAUUUUCACUACUGCCGUAUUUGUCUUGUUGUUUCACAAAUUUCUUGAUCUAUAGCUGCUGUAUUUAUUUUGUGUUGAUUAUGUGCAAGUUUUGUUUUAUGUAAUCAGCUACUGGGCUGCAUGUUGUGUAUAUUUUGUCAAGCUACUGAAUUGUUCUGUUCCAACUGAUUUAAAAAAACCUAAUUAGUAGUUUUAAUCAGUAUUUCAAUGGCUUUCGAACUAUUUUUUAUAUUUUUGUUUGCAUAUGCAUGUGAUGUGGUUGGUGGAAGAUGUUUGGAUUGAAUAUAGCUUUGUCAUCAUGACGCAACUCUAAAACUUUGAUGGGUUAACUAAGUACUUUAACUUAGAUACUUUUAUAAGUUUGUUUGUGAUGUUCUUCUUGUUCGAUCUGAUUUUUUUUAUUGAGCUUAUAUAUAUCGAAGCUCUCGUUUCAAGUUGUUGACCAAUUUUAGUGUAUUCAUACUAGGUGAUGAGCUUCUCUCGGACUCGUUUCCAUACAAGGAAGUCCAUAAUGGAGUGUUGUGGGAAGUUGAUGGAAAGGUAGGUUCAUCAAUUUUGAACUUAACAAGCUUAACAGAUGGUUCUCGCAAUGAUUUUAAUUUAUUCGCGUAACUCAAACUUUGCAAGUAGAAAAUAAAGUCGGAUGAUGUAUUUAAUGUGUGGGUAUCAGGGUGGUUGUAUUGAGCUCUGCUGUUUUAUCUUAACUUCUACUGUUGCACAGUUGAUUAAAUGUAAGUUUGUAUGAUUGUUGUCUCCAGUGGGUUGUGCAAGGAGCAGUUGAUGUAGACAUUGGUGCAAAUCCCUCUGCUGAAGGUGGUGGGGAAGAUGAGGGUGUUGAUGAUCAAACCGUGAAGGUGGUUGACAUCGUUGACACAUUUAGGCUUCAGGUAUGUAGUGCCCGCUGUUCUGUUGGCCCCGAAACUUUGUCUCGGAUUAGGAAUUUUAUUGUUAUUGCCUGAUGCUUGCAGGAGCAACCUCCUUUCGACAAGAAGCAGUUUGUCACAUGGGUGAAGAGGUACAUCAAACUGUUGACACCCAAGCUGGAGGGGGAGAAACAAGAGGAAUUCAAGAAGAACAUUGAGGGAGCAACCAAGUUUCUGCUUUCGAAGCUCAGUGACCUCCAAUUGUAAGUUUUGUUGGUCCCUUUAGUGAUUUACCAUGUUAGUCAUCCCGUCGGUAGAAUACUUUGGCACUUGCUAUCAUUGUGGAAUUUUUACUCGAAAAAAGAUACAAGCAUUGAAUCACAUGUUCUUUUGCAGCUUUGUUGGGGAGAGCAUGCAUGAUGAUGGCGGUUUGGUGUUUGCCUACUACAAGGAGGGUGCCACUGACCCAACAUUUAUCUACUUUGCGCAUGGUUUGAGGGAGGUCAAGUGCUAAGUAUUGGCACAGCUGGCUUCAAGCAGAAUGCUUGUUGUAAUCCUAGUCUAUAUUGUUGCUUUUUUUUUUUUCUUCUCUAAAUUGGGGAAUCAGGAGUCUAUUUUUGCUUGUUUUCUUUAGAAUGUUUUGCAUUUGGUGACUUGAGGCUUUAUGCCACCUUCUAUCUCGGUUUUUAAUGGUAUUUUCGAAUUUCGACUUGGAUUUCUAAUUUAUUUGGCUCUAUGUUUUGAUUGAGAAAUAAGAAUAAUAUUGUAUUCUAGAUUUUAGCAGCUCCAAAUCUUCAUUCUUAUCUAUGCAUGCAUUUGUAUGUUAUAUCAUCUAUAUGUUAUAUAAUUCAUAAAUCUACAGGCUGUUUUUGGGUUUGUUUAUAGAAAUUAAAUAAUGUAGGGUUUAUCUAUAAUAUUAGUGUUAAAAAUAGAUAUAUGAUUAAAUAUCACUAAAAAAAAUUAUGGGCUGUUUUUGGGUUUGUUUAUAAAAAUUAAAUGGUGUAGGGUUUAUAUAUAAUAUUAAUGUUAAAAAUGGGUAUAUGAUUAAAUAUCAUUAAAAAAAUUAUGGGUUAUUUUUGGGUUUGUUUUUAGAAAUUAAAUGGUGUAGGAUUUAUAUAUAAUAUUAAUGUUAAAAAUGGAUAUAUGAUUAAAUAUCACUAAAAAAAAUCAUGGUUCAUUCAUUACUGUGACAAAUGCAAAUGGGUCUGCAGUACGAUGUAGACGGUGGAACUGUAGAAGCUUGUGCACCUGUACAGAGCUUUGGUACUUGACCUUGGCUAGUUGAAUUAUCAGUUUAACAACUUUGUAACAAACUCUCUUGUAGUUCAAGUGAUUAAGAAAUAAGUUUUAGUUCAAGUGAUUAAGAAAUAAGUUUUAGUUCAACCGAAAAAAGAAAUGGGUUUGCGACUUAAGCGGUUAAGAGGGAUAUCGAUCAAUUUUUCAGAAUUGUUAGAUAAUUAUUGUGAAGUUAAAGGAGGUAUGAUGUUAUUUUUGCCAAGAGUAAGAUGAUUGGGGAAGAAAGUCACAUUAUACAAUCCACUAGAUGGCUACGAAGUGCAAUUCAUUCAUUCCAUUACCCUGAAAUUUAUUUUUUGUUUUGUUUUGUCAAAUAAAUAACAACUUGCUCAAACAAAGAAAAAAUUCCGAAAUGAUAUUGGCCCUCUCAUUGACCCCCAAUGCAUAAAAUUUUAUUGAGACACUUGAUGAAAGGCUCAGGGCUUUGUGGGUUGCUUCACAAUCAUGACGGAGCAUUUAACAUGAUGAGCACAGUAGUCGCUUACACUUCCAAGAACUGCCCUGCAAGAGAUUCGAAUUUUGUGUCACGUAUUAGAAGAGCCUGAAGGAAGAAUAAAUAAAUAAAAAGAAUUUUGGAUUUGCAAAGUUCAAACAUGUACCUCUUUACAAUUCCAUAACCAUGACUUCCAACAACCAAAAGGGAGGCCUGAUGUUUAUCAACAGCGUCACACAUAACAUUUCUGGGAUCACCUUCCAUUACUUCCACUUCUACAUUUUCCACCUGCACUGUUGCUAAUUAACCGUAUUCGCUUGAUAAAUCACAUUAAUUAGCUGACCACAUAAUAUGCAGAAUGAUGCGUGAAUUAUCAAAAAAAUGGCAGAAUUUUGGAAAAAUAGCCUAGUGAGUGUUCAUAAUAACGUUGCAGACAUCACUUAAAGGAUUUUGUACUUACCUUUUUGCUGGUGCAAACAUCCUUAGCUUUCUGCACGGUCUUACCAGUGGAUUUCUUCAUAUCCGCCUCCAAAGAAGUCAUAAAGUCCACAGAACCUGCAUUUUACAAUAACAUGAAUUAACCAUGCAAUUAAUGAAUUAAUGAAGCAGAUAAUGAGAUUGGUUUAGUUAAUUACCAAAUCCGGCGACGCCGAGGGCAGAAGAGGCAGAACUCCUAGCAUGAAUGACGAUGAGCUUGAAAGGGUGGUUGGUGCCGUGAGCAAAGAAAUGGUCCAACGUCCACUCCAAUGCAUAAAAGCUAUGCUCACUGUCGUCCACUGCAACUAGCAUCAGCGGCUUCCCCUUGUUCUCACUACCUUCCGCCAUUAUCUUAAUUAAUCGCUAAUUAAUCCAAGUUAAUCACUAAUUAUCAACAAAAACAGCAAGAAGAUCCAAAUUAAUUAGUUCAGUGUGGGAUUAAUUUAGUUGGACAGUGUGCUUGUGGGUGGUAACGGCUGUAUAGGAUAGGAUAGUAGCUGGCUGUUGCUGAAUAUGGCGAUGCUAUGUGUAUACAUAUAUAUGCCUAAAUUGUUGGUAACUGUAUCGAGGUCGUUACGCCCCUCGACUCGGUUUCUUAACCGUCUGUGAAUCAAUGGCCUUGAGAUGGCGGGAGUUUCUGUGAGGUCCAAUUCAUGGCUCAUAUCAAAGCGGAGUGCUGGGCCAAGUAUGAUCCCUCUUUAGGAGCCUCCAAAAGCUAAGACAUCUCAUAUUCUGUUUCAAAUAGGUCGAAUCCAACUGAAUCAAACAAAAUAAAUUAGUUACAAUUUGGUCUGAUUUUUACACUAUUGAGUGUACAAAUUGGAUUAACACACUCAGAGUAGUUUAAUUUGACCGAUUUGAAAAUAACACGAAUUGGAUUACGUCUAAUUUGACUAGAGUUAAAUGUAGUGAAAUUAUGAAUCCCGCUAAAAGGUUGAGAUUAUGGCAAGAGUCUACAGGAGCCCUUCAUUACCAGACGAAAGGAUGGUGGGAGCCAAAUUGGGUCUAGAAACGUUUAAAAACUUUAAUUCAAAUUAGAAUCCUGAGCUAAGCAUCGGUCUCAACCCUCACAUGCUUUAAGUUAAAGCAAGGCUUUUCCCAAAAUAAGUGUACCGCACGGAUGACAGGGUAGGGAACCGAACAGAAAAGUGGGGUUUUUAUUUAUUUAUUUAUACUUUUUUAUAAUAUAAAAAAAUUUAAAGUUGGGGUCCACUUGGAGAUCCACCAGCAUUUAUCAAUGUCGACCCAAUUACCAUAACAACAAACAAACCUUAUUUAAAAAAAACCUUGAAGCAAAAUAAAAUAAAAUAUUGACCUUAAGUAAAAUUAAAAUAAGAUUAUUAAAUGAUUUUAUGAUAAAGUAUAUUUAUGCAACCAAAAGUAUGUUUCAUGAUGCAUCCGUCCAUUUAUGUGGCCUCUUUCUCAAGUUUCGAUUAUGUUAUGUUAUUUUAGAUUUACAUUGCGUACAGAUUAAUCUUAUAUCGAUGUGAAUUAUUAAUUCUAUCUUAUUAAUAUGACUUAUAUAUAAAAAUUUACUCGAAAUAUCCAUAAUUAUUUAGUAGACAAUUAUCAAUACUUUUCCUCACCAAAAUUUACGUUGAAUUCGUAUAUUGUUUGUGUCUCUGAAAUAAUUGUCACCUUUGGAAAAUAGCAAAGGAAAUAUAUAAAAGCACAAAGUUAGAAAAGCGAGGUCUUUUAGGAAUUUACAAAAUUAAAGUCCUCCUAGAAAGGUACAGCAGCGCAUAAAUAAUCUUGCUGUCAUCAUUCUAUCACACUGUGUACGUUCCAUCACCAAAUGGCUGAAUCAAGUUUGGGAGGGUAUUAUUGACAAUAACAAAAAGCUUGAGGCAAGGGUAUAUCCAUGUAUAUAUAUGCUUAUUUGAACUUGAGACCGUAAAGUUUGACCUUUCAGCAUUAAAAAAAAGUUUGAAAUCUCCCUUCAAUUUAAUAUUAUAGCUUGAGGCAAAGGCAAUCGCCUUCAUUCAUCCUAAGAGCAUUUCCAGCAGUUAAGGCUGGACUCAGACUGGGGAGGGAGGGUUGGGCAACAAUGCAAAACACCUGAAAAAAUGCAUUAGACUUUCGAACAUCAUCAGCAUUUCACGUGUUCGAAUGACUAAUGCAUUUGUUGUAUAUAUAGUAUAAAUACAUAAAAUACUGAUUUUUGUUAUAAAAAAUAUAUGAUAAUCUACAAAAUAAUGAGUAAUGCAAACAUGUGAUGAAAAGUUAUAGAGAGCAUUGAUAAUGAUGAAUAAGUUUUUUUUGUUUGUUUUUUGUUUUGGUUGAAGAAUGAUGAAGAACGUAUAUAUGUAAUGUAAAAUUGUAAAUGAAAUAAACAACAAGGUACAAACUUUCAUGUCUCAUUUCGACUGGAAGUGCAAAUCUCUAGUUAAACCGACCCGCACUACGACUUAUUCUGUUGCCUGCUGCUUAGCCAGCAAUUGUAUAAAACUGCUGCACGAGCUCAAUAUAUAUUAGUAAUUUUAUUUAGCGCAUCUGUGUAUAAUUUUCAGAGACAGAAGUCGCAGUCCCACCGUCCCAAUCCAAGUCUGAAGUUGAGAAAAGAUUCCAGCAAUAUAUAAACACACUUACACCUAAAUAAAUUGCAUGUAUAUAUACUAAUUAAAUUAUUUUAAUCUAAUUUAAAUUACGAUGAGAGGGAUUUAAAAUUGGGUUUAUACUAAUCAAAUUAUUUUAAUUUCAAUUCUUAAUAUUUUCAUUAACUAAAGGUAUUUUUUGGUAUUUUGAAUGUUUUACCAUUCUCUCCAUUUUGCUUUAUAUAUAGAUAAAAGGUUAGCACGUUCCCUUUUAUAUUAUCCGAUUCGUUUUUAUAUUUUAUUAGGUCCCGUUUGGUUCACGGAAUGGAUUUGAGGAGAAAUCACUUCCGAUGUCAUUUCCCAAGGAAUGAGAAUGAAAGAUUCCUUUCCCAAGUUUGGUAAUGUCGAGAAAGUAACCGGGAGAUUUCACUUUGUUUCCUUUCCUAUGUUUGUUUUGAGUAGGAAUGAAAAAUAAAGUUUGUAUAAUUUUUCAAUUAUACCCAUAUUAAAUCAAAUAAAAAAUAAUAAUGCAUUUAAUGAUACGUUGUAAUUCUAAAUUGUUCAUAGGGACAAAAUAGUCAUGAAAAUUGUUCAUUGAAUGUUGGCUCAUUUUCCCAAACUUUCCCAUGAGGAGGGAAAACAAAACCCGAGUUAAGAGGAGGGCUUCACUUUUCCCCCUACUUUCCUAUGUGCCAGACAACAAUUUCCCAUGCAUGGACUUACUAAACAUGGGAAAGCAAUUGAAUUCUCAUUCCUAAGCCUCAUUUCCCAUGAACCAAACGGAACCUUAAGGGUUUGCUUUGACAUUUGAUUUGAGGUGGUUGAGUGUAUUUCAAUAAUUUCUUAACUUGAAACAUACUAUUCUCCUAUUAGGAUUGUUGUAUUAGUUUUUGUUAGUUGAAUGAUUUCUAUUUUUAAUUUUCAGACAGGAUCUUAUGAAUCUCAGUUUGCUUAAUUAACAAAUAGGCAAACGCGCCCUAAACAAUAAAAUAAUUACAUCAAAAAUUGAGGGAGGACGAGCCACCUCAAUAAUGCCCUCAAACACCAUUUUCAUUCCAUAAUAGUAAUUUUGCAAAACCCAAAAAAAAAAAAGAGGAAAAAUAAUGAGAAAAUGGAGAAAUGAAUUGUGUUUUUUUUUUCUUGUUUGAGAAAUCAUAUUUUUUCCUCUUAAUAUUGCACUUUUAUCCCCAUAAAUAAAUAAAUAAAGAAGGCGAAAAAUACCCAUCAACCCUCAAUGAAAAUUUCCUUUUUAUUUUUGUUGGGUCAUGAGACAAAAAAGAAAAAGAAAAAGAUUUUCAUUAUUGUUGGUGGUGGUGGGAGGGAGUGGACGUUUUGAGUUUCCGCGGCAAGCAAAUAAAAGAAAAUCCAAGGGUAUUUGCGUCAGCUCACAUUAAAUUUAUUCCAGUCUGUCGUCCGAAGGCUCUGAACCGUCCAUCCGAGCUCCAAACCGAAAAUUAGCAACAACUUUGAGGGCGUAUCAGUCUUUUUAGAUUAAUUCAAUUUUGCGAAGAGCCGUUUUAAUAAUUUUGAAAAUUAUAAUCUACCAAAUGACAAUUAUAACGACAUCGCUCUCUGACUCUCUCUCCUGUUGUCGCAGAAAGAUUAUUUUAUAAUCUAAGCAAGGCGUACACUCUCUCUCUCUUCUGUGGAGCCCCUUACCAUCAUCAAUUCAACCCCCAUUUCUCUGAAACCAAAUUCCAACACACCCUUCCCUCUUUACAAUCGAAUUAGGGUUUUGCUUUUCCCAAUUCGUUUGCAGAUCUGAUCCCAAUAUCGCAUUCUUUUGAGAUUAUUGAGAAGCCACAGAUCCUGGUCGCGUAAUUGUUUUGCUUCCUUCUGUUCCGGUACGUUUAAUCGUAAAUGUGAGAAACUGAUUGAUUUUCUACGUUGCUCGGCGUGGGAUUCUGUGAUCAGAUUCGGUUGAAUUGCAGAUUCUGAGGAUUUGAAUCGCAUUUCCGUUGGAAUUUUACUUUCAUGUCCUGCUUUGAAUUCAACUUCUCCCCACCUCGUGAGUAUAUAUGAUCCCAUGCAAAUCAAUAUGCUAUAAUUUCGUUGAAAUUCUUAUGCCUUUUGGAUUGCACGUAUAUAUAAAUGCAUUUGUGUGGUUUGUUUCUGUGAAGCGGUUGUUGGAAUAUAGAUCUUGAAAAUUGGCUCCUCAAAGACGGUCGCAGCGCCACAUGGGUGGCCAGAUGCAGCAGAGCAAUGCCGCCGCGGCUACUGCUCUGUACGACCACGCCACCGGCGCCCCUGCCGGGCCUCUGCACAAUGCGGGGCCUGCCGGCGAUGCUGGUGAUGCAGUCAUGGCCCGGUGGCUCCAGUCCGCUGGGUUACAGCAUCUGGCCUCACCAUUGGCUUCCACGGGAAUCGACAACCGUAUGCUCCCCAAUCUCCUCAUGCAGGUAUUAUAUUCAUAGCCAUUGCCUAUGUGAUUGUGCUAUCGUAUCCGCUUUUUUCAUGUAGAAUUACAUGAUGACUAAGCGUUUGAUAUUGUUAUAGGGUUAUGGCGCUCAAUCUGCUGAAGAGAAACAGAGGCUUUUGAAAUUAAUGCGAAACCUCAAUUUUAAUGGGGAGUCUGGUUCUGAGCCAUAUACACCUACUGCGCAAACUUCAGGUGGGGCUGCAUCGGAUGGUUUGUAUUCUCCGGAGUUCAGGGGGGAUUUUGGAGCUGGGCUGUUGGACCUUCAUGCUAUGGAUGAUACAGAGCUUCUGUCUGAGGUAUGGUAAUUUAAAAAAUUCAUAAUGUUCUGUGUUUAACUUAGCUGGGAAGUUCUGCAUGGAUUGGUCUUAAAACAUUAAUAACGAUGAAGUACGAGAUUGGCUACUGGGUGCUGUCAAAGGACGAGAUUGGUUACUAAUCCCUGACAUUGAGUCGUUUUGUUUGAAGUUGCUUUACAACAUUCCAUGUUGUUAUUCGGUGAUAUGUGCUGGAAUUCAGACCCGUUAUGCACUUGGGAAUAUCAAGUUGUGACAUCAGUAUUUUAUAAUGAUAAAUUGGUCUGAAUUUAUGGCCAAAUUUUUAUGAGCUAAAUAUUUUAAUUAAAUUGUGAAUUCAGGAUGGGUUGAUGGGGAUUCCCUGGAAAUUCACUCACUUGUUAGGGUAAUUUCUCUUGGAUUGCUGUUUUGUUUCUAUAUGAAUUUUACUUGUGAAUAGGUUCUUAAAUUUAAAUUUGCUUUGUAAAACUUGUAACAUCUCUGAUUCUAGCCAGUACAUUAUCAUUUUUGUUCCCUUUACCUAUUUGUUAUUGGUCCUUGUUUUCUUGUGAUAUAUAUUUAUAGCUGCAUAGUGAAAAGAGUUAAAUCCUCACCUACUUUUGAAAUGUUGUGCUUACUGUCUUGGGGUCUGUUCUUUACCUUUUUCUUGAGUUAUGAUCAAUGAGACUGCUUUGUGUCUGUCUAGGAUAUUUUUUUUACUUCCUACUCUGUUGCUUUAUUUGUUAAUAAAAUGCAAUAUUGUUUUCAUGUUCAGCAUGUCAUCCCUGAACCCUUUGAGCCAUCGCCAUUUAUGCCUGGUGGUAAAGCAUUUGAUGAUGAAUUCAAUUUGACAAGUGGUAGGCAGCAAAGAGUACUACCUGAUCCAGAUGCAUCAGUUCCAGUAGCCCAGAGUGAAAAGGAGAGCACAAAGGAAACUAACGUGGCUAAGAUUAAAGUUGUGGUAUGUGUUUCAUUUCGCAGCUGAGUGCUGCGCUUGUGUAUUGUUGGAUAUGUGUGGUUAUAUCAUGUUGUUGAUGACUUGGUACCUAAUUUCUAUAUGAAUGCUUUGGGUCUUAACAUAUAUCAAUCUUGGCAUCUGAUCCUGUCGUGUGAUUUGAAGGCAUAUGAUGGAAUAUCAUGUUAUUAUUUUGUGUGAAACUUUUAAAUUUUUUGUGUUCUAAUGGGUAUAUUAGGUACGCAAAAGACCUUUAAAUAAGAAGGAGCUUUCGCGGAAGGAGGAGGAUAUUGUUUCUGUGUAUGACAAUGCUUAUUUGACAGUCCACGAACCCAAACUAAAGGUUUGUUCUCAGCAACCAGAUGCCAUUUAAAAUUUCUGGCCGAAUUUUGUUUUGGAAAUUGAAGUCUCUUUCUUGCACAUAUUCUGUUUUGGGUUUUACAUUUUUGGUCAUGUAAUAGGUGGACUUGACUGCAUACGUGGAGAAGCAUGAAUUUUGUUUUGAUGCUGUUCUGAAUGAGUAUGUUUCAAAUGAUGAGGUAAUAUACAUCUUUUUGUACAUGGAAGUGUAUAAAUCUUGACUUAAUAUUUCCUUUGAUGUUUAGGAUACUGUUGCACAUUAGGCAUGGUCCUUAUGUGCAUGUUCCUCUAUGAUUGUUUCUCGGUUGGAUAAAAAAGGUUUAACCAGUUGAAAUGCUUUAUGAAACAGGUAUACCGGGCUACUGUAGAACCAAUUAUUCCCAUUAUUUUUGAGCGAACAAAGGCUACUUGUUUUGCUUAUGGUCAAACAGGUAGGUGGUGUAUAUAAUCUGUCCAUGUCAUACACUACUUGAUUAUCAGUUUAUCCUUGUUGAAACUUUAUUCUUUUCAUCUGUGUAUAUGACAGUCAUCAAAAUGCAGUAUCAUUGGUUGAGUAAUGACCUUGUGAUAUAUAUUUAAAUAAUUAUAAUUCCAAAUCAUAUUCUAUUCUUCCCUAGUUAGAGUUUGACUGCUAAGUUUGUCCUUCCUUUAAGCUUUAUAUACUCUUAGAAAGUUACCAAUAGACAAAAUUCAGGUUUUCACGCUUGUCAGAUCUAUUCACUUUGUUUGGGGGGCUCUGAGACAUUAUGUUUGUGGCUUAUUUCUGGUGCCACUUAGUGGUUUUACUUGUUGCUAUGUGAUCCUUUUCAAUCAUGCUAAAUGUCUUCUGUACUGAAAAUACUAACAAGAUUUGAAUUACAGGUAGUGGCAAGACAUUCACAAUGCAACCGUUACCUAUCAGGGCUGCAGAAGACCUGGUCAGAUUGUUACAUCAGCCAGUUUACCGUAACCAGAGAUUCAAAUUGUGGCUUAGCUACUUUGAGAUUUAUGGAGGAAAGCUCUUUGAUCUUCUCAGUGAGAGGAAGUAUAUCUCUUUGUUUGACUGGUUCUUUUAUUUUAAUGUUAUGAUGGUAUUUGAAAAUUAGUUUCUUUUUUGCCAAAAAUACUGUUCUAUUUGUUUGUUUCUAAUUUUUAACUUUAAAUUGCUAUGACUUUGGAAUGGGAUUUGGACUCAUGACAUCCUCCUUUAAGGAAAGGUAUAGGCUUGUAGAUACCGUCAGGGGAUAGCUAUGUUCUAGAAUGAUCUUUUGGAUUGCAGAGGGUAGCUAUGUGUGUUAGUGCAUAAUAAUGGUCUAGCUGAGUAUAGGACAGGGCAUAAGACACAUAGUUUUGUGUGUGAAGGAUUCAUUUGUGUAACUACCAAUGAUGUUGCAAUGGUUUGAAGCAUGUCAUGUUUCAGUUACUAAGGCAUCAGUUGUCCAUUUUCACCAAGUAUUAAAUUUCAUGUGAAUUUUUUGAGCAAUGUUUGUGGAAAGCAUCUAAUUAUUACUAGUUGGGUUAUGUGGUAUAAUUUUAGAAUGGGUGUUCUGAUUACGUGCAAGCAUUUGUUUCUAUUUGCAUUAUGCAUCAUCUUAUUUUAUAUGACAGCACAUUUAUUUGCAUUUUUUUAGAGAUGCAUAAUAAUGCACGUAUGCAUGUGAAUUUUGGUUCACUUGGUGGUCUACUGCUGUAAUUAUGUUAUGACAUAAAUGACUUCAUUUCUUUGCAAUAGGAAACUUUGUAUGAGAGAAGAUGGACGGCAACAAGUUUGCAUUGUUGGACUGCAAGAAUUUGAAGUUUCAGAUGUACAAAUUGUUAAAGAAUAUAUUGAGAGAGGGAAUGCUGCUAGAAGUACGGGGUCAACUGGUGCUAAUGAAGAGUCUUCUAGGUCUCAUGCUAUUUUACAACUCGUUGUGAAAAAGCACAGUGAGGUAAAAGAUUCUAGGCGGAACAAUGAUGGAAAUGAAUCUAGAAGUGGGAAGGUUGUGGGGAAGAUCUCUUUCAUCGAUCUUGCUGGUAGUGAAAGGGGUGCUGACACCACUGAUAAUGACCGACAAACAAGGUAAUCUUCCAACUUUUUUAGGCUAUCGGCUUUUCUUUCUUCUUGUUUCUCUAUGAUUUUGGCGUUUGGUGAUAUAAUUGUACUGGCAAAUCCGUCAUUGGGCUAAGUGUGACGCCUGGGCAGGUUUUAAGAAGGCCCAUGGUGUCAAUAGUACUAAAGAAAAUCAGAAAUUGUUCUUGGCUGUACCUAUUCCAUCAGGAUAAUGCUUCUUAGGCUACCGUUGUUCUUUCUCACAUUCCUUGUAAUGUCAGUACUGUUAUGAUGAUUUACUGACUACUGAAUUUGUUGAACCAAAAUGGGUCCUUGCAGAAUUGAGGGAGCAGAAAUUAACAAGAGCCUUUUGGCUCUGAAGGAGUGUAUUCGUGCUCUGGACAAUGACCAGAUCCAUAUACCUUUCCGUGGAAGCAAACUCACAGAAGUGCUUCGUGAUUCCUUUGUUGGAAAUUCAAGGACUGUUAUGAUAUCUUGCAUUUCUCCAAAUGCAGGGUCAUGCGAGCAUACACUUAACACUUUGAGAUAUGCGGAUCGGUAUGCUUUAUGCUAUUGUGAACUUAAACAACUCAAAUUACUGUACUAGUGCUUAAUGAUUAAACUUAUAUUUCAGACUAAAAGAUUAACUUUAAACGAACAGGGUUAAAAGUCUUUCAAAAGGUGGCAAUGCUAGAAAGGAUCAAGCAGUAAAUUCAUUACCACCAACUAUUAAGGAUGUUUCAUCGACAUCAUCUACACUGGUUUCUGCUGAGAUAGAGGAUGCCCGUGAGCAACGUCAAGAAGUUAAAGUAACUGAUACAGGCAGAAGAGCUGUGGAGAAAGAAAGUUUCACAUAUAUUCCAACUGUUGAGUUUGACAAGCAGCCUGCAAAGUUGUCAUCAAGUAACCCCAUUAGUAUUCGGGAAGAAAGCGGGGUGGCUUCUGGUGUAAUGGAUAGGGAGAGAUUUGAAAUUAAUAAUUCUUAUGGUGAUUCUUACAGCCAGAAGAUGCUCUAUUAUUCCCAAAACUCGGGUGAUACAGAAGAGAAAGUACAAAAAGUGUCACCACCUCGUAGGAAAGUAACCAAGGAUGAAAAAUCAGAAAAGUUGGGUAAUUGGCUGAAAAAAGGUGGAUCUGAUCUCUCCACCACAAGUUCUAAGCAGCAAAAUACAGGAAAUUAUAACACAAGCAAUGUUGGAUCCAAACAAUCUGAGCCUCAACUUCCUGAUGGGCAUAUCAAUGCCAUUCUCGAGGUUGGUACUCUGGCUUUGGUCAUUAUAUUUGUAGUUGUUUUACAAGUAAUCCUCCACCCCCUGCUAAUUUUUUUUGAGCUCUUUGGACUGUAUUAGGAAGAAGAGGCCCUAAUUGCUGCCCAUAGAAAAGAAAUUGAGGAUACGAUGGAAAUUGUUCGCGAAGUAAGUGAAACUUUCUUCUUUUGUUUUUUUGCAAGAUAUUUUGAUUGCCUCUCCAACAGAUCUUGUUAACUGAGUGAGAAACUGGCAUUUUUAACUUGUCUGUCAUGUCAACCUGCUAUAUAGCGUGCAUCCUGUAUUUUUUGGUAAAUAGGUGCUUAUCCCGUGUUGUUUUGGUUACCAGGAAAUGAAACUGUUGGCAGAAGUGGACCAACCAGGGAGCCUGAUAGACAACUAUGUGACCCAGUUGAGCUUUGUGCUUUCUCGCAAGGCAGCUGGUCUGGUUAGCCUGCAAGCCCGUCUUGCAAGAUUCCAGCAUAGACUAAAAGAGCAGGAAAUACUAAGUCGCAAAAGAGGACCUCGUUAAGGCAGGCACUUUGUUUCGUUGCGCUGAUGGCGGCACUGUUACUUGUAUUAAUCUGAACUCUCUUUUAUAUAUUUUUCAUUUUCAUCUCAUCUGGUGGAAAACAUUGAUACUAAACAGCAUCCUUUUUAAGUUCUGCUUAUUCUGUCUUGUUAUGGUCCCGGCAGUUACAAAGCAGGAUCUGCGGGAGGGGGAUUUGAGGCAUUGCAGACUCCGGGCAGUUCACAUCCAGACUUCUGGCUAAGGGCGGCAAUGAGGAUUCAAUUCACGUCUUUUGCCGGUGAUUGUGUUCUCAUUUGUAAUUCUUUAGAUAAGUUGAUGUGUUCUUGCCGAGUCUUUUGUGGGUUGUGGACUUUGGCUGUUGUGUAAGUGGUGACUGGAAAUUUGAUUUGACAAUGUAUUUUCUAGUAAAGAAAAAAAAAGAAAUAGAAUGAUUAUUACUCUGUCAUCCUGACUAUUAUCUUAUUUCAUUCUUUUCUUUUGCACUGUCCCUUGAAUACCAUACAUUUCCAAUAUUGAUCACAGAAUUAUUCCGAGGAUUUGGCUACUUUCCAGGUUAAACAAAACCAAAUAAACAUGAACCAAAAUAUUAUUUUAUCGGAUAGAGUAAAUGCUGGCAAGUAACUAUCACUUAAUUCAGGGGCACAAAUGAAUCUUCAACAAACUCUGGCCAAAACAAAUGAAAACUUUCUUUUAUAGAACAGAAUUCUCCAGAAAUAUUGUGUUACAAUUGUUGGAUCAACUCAAUUACUAAUAUAUAGGCAAAUGGCCAACAAGAUACAAGGGCUAAAAAAAAACUAGCAACAAGGACUCAGUCAGCGCAUAACCUGAAAGCUUAUGGAACUUUUUGAACAUAUAUGUGACAAAUCAAAGGUUCGCACUUGUAUAGUAUAUACAAGUUACUAUUUCUGCCUUGUGCUCUGCUAACCUUUCCUCACAGGACUCACCUCACCAAGACAAAUCUUAAAUUAUUUCAAAAAUUUCGAAGCUGGCAUGCAACUCACACCCGCGAGCACACCUAAUUCAUCGUCUGUUACUCUCUAAUUCCUAAUUCUUGGUUGGUACUACCGCAUGCCAAAGCUAGCUUGCUCAAUCAGUCCGCUCUCAAUUUUAGGAUCUCCUUGGCUGUUCUCAAUCGAAAAUAUGGCAUGUGUUCCUGCAAGGACAACAAACAGAGUUGAAUCAUACUAAUUAACAGUUGAGUUAACCGAGAGCAGGAUAUACAUGAGCAUUUCAUUCUAUAGCAUACUACUUCCCAAUAAAUUAUCAGGAGAAGUAAAAGCAAGAAACAGAAGGAACCAGUGCCAAGUAUUUUCCCCCUAGAAUUACGUUGAACAUAUAAUUUUCCAUUAUUAAUGGUUUGAAUGCAGGUCCGAGAAAAUAAAAAUGAAAACAACCAAAAGAUACUUUAACUUGGGAGACAAAAUAUACACUUCCGUGUGGCAAAGCAACAGAAGCAUCUCUAAGCGCCUUACCUGCUUGAAACAGAGAUCCAAGCCCCUGCUAUAAAAGUCAGCAUAUUUGAUCAUGAACACACCACAGUCAAACCUGUUAAGAAAAAUUAAUUCAAAAAUACAUUUCAAUUAGCAGAAGUCUCUUUGCUUACUGUAAAGAGUUUGGGAAAAAGAUAAAAGAAAACCUAUAACAUUAGACAUGUAAUGCCUACCCAUUCUCCUGCUCAGGAAGGUCUUCAACAUAUUCUAAUUUCCAAGAACUCAAAUUGAUGUCUUUUCCACACUUAUCCUUCACUUCAUCAACAUAGUAUUUCGCCUGUCAAACAUAAACAGUCAAAGUUAGCCGCAACUUAAUCGGUUUAAUGAAUUUAUUCGUUUUCCUACCAUUUUGAAAAACAUCUGUACCAAGGUACUGCCAUUAGUAUCCAAAAAGAAAAAGAAAAACGAAGAUGAAGAGUUAAUUGAUGGCUGAUGAUCGAUGAAAUAUUUGUCCACACAGCAAACUUUUUACGUGCCUAUGUGCAUAUUUCAUACCACAUCAAGUAUGGAGGAAGGGCAAUUGUUAUCAAGUUCUGCAGGCAAGACUGACAAGAUGAUUUUCUUCAUUUUUAAAAUUCAUGAACCCAGUCAACUCCAGACCAAACAAACAAAGAACCCAAUCAAUUCAAACAUAUGUUGUAGUUCGAGUAACAGGAAAUUACACGAACCGCUAAUGGCAAGAUUUUAUUUUUUCAAAGCAUCACUACUCGUCACCCCCUUCCCACAAGAAAAAGUGAAAGGGAAUCAAGGACCGACAUUUUGUGUAACAGACUUUCUGACUUUAUUGCAUGCAUCAUCAAUAAAUUAUAUCAACCGCCGAACAGAAUAUGACUACAAAGCAUACCAAUCUGUUCAUCACUUGGGUAUCCCUUCCUUUGAGUGAAUCAAGAUACUGUAACUUCUCCUCUGCCUUGUUAAUAACUGCCAAACACCAAUGUAUUUCUUUGUGGAUGGGAACAAAUAUCUGAGAAGAAAACAACUUAUGAAAUAAAUGUAAUUUCACUUAAACUGUGUAUAUGUGCAAUGAAGAAGGUUUGAAUGAAGUUACUUUGUCACAAUCGAUGAGGCUGUAUCCCAGCUUCUUUUGGGUAGUCCACCUUCUGACGGAUUUAUAAUCAUAGUUACUUUUCCCACCUAUCAACUGCACAUACAAUUUCAGUAAAAUAAGAGUAGCUAACAUAGAAAUCAAUAUCCUAAAUCCAACAGCAAAGAUGGUUACCCAAUCUAGGCAAAUAAUUACUAGGAGUGUGAAUUGCACGGGCUGAGCUGACAGACCUUGCCUGAGGUUAGCCCAAUAAGCACAUGGCUGAGCUCUCAGCCCAGCCCAAUCUUCGGGCCUAAUGAAAUGUAAUAUAUGUAUACAAAUGAGAAAGAAACAAAUGGGUACAAUUUGGGUUGGCGUUAUAUCAUGCUGAUUCAUCCUGAACUUCAAAUCAGGUCUAAAAACUCAGCCAAAACUCAAAUGAGACUCAUCCUAAUAAAAAUUCAGGCCAAAUUGGUCAAAGCUUUUGACCAAUCCAACUCAACAAACAGUCCUAAUAAUUAAAUGAUGAAAUAGAAGUAUGAGACUAUUUGACAAUGAACAUGCAUUAGAGCUUUAUAGUUUUUGCAGUGACAAGAACUCAUGUAUUCAUACCAGUGCACUUAUCUAGACAACAAAUUAAUGAAAUCAAUAAAUAUUAUUCUGACAGUAAAAAAAAAAAAAAGGAAAACUAAACAGAUUAUGCAUAUACAACCACUGCCCGGAACAAAGUGUAAAAGAAUGAACAAGAAAGAAAGCAAAUUACAAACCUUUUUGUAGAAAAAUGUGUUGAAGAAAUGACAUUUUAAGAAAUUCUGUGGCUCUCUCUUUUCCCUCUCUUUCAGCAACUCAAAGUAGACAUUUAUGACCUGGACGGAAAAGAAUACAUAUGUAUCAAUCACAUUACCAGCUAGGCAAGCCUGGACAACCCCACAUGAACCAUACAAAACAAAAUGCAAUGAAUUGUUUUUUUUGUUAUUGCAAUUUAACAAAAAAGUACAAAUGUAACCUAGAAAAUACCUCGUCAUUCAACCAUGCACGUGGUCUAAGGCACUGCAGCAUUUCACCUGUGAUCUCUAUGUUUGAGUUCUCAUGAGUUACCAAGACUCUCCUCCUGUAUGAACCCCAACACUGUUAUACUUUCAAGUUUCAACUAAACCAAUUCAAAGAUGAAACAGAAUAUAUAUCAAACCAUACCGAUUGGCAGAGGAAAAUGCUUGCUCAACCUCAGCCAUUUCCUCCUUUCGAAGAGCAACAAAGGGUUCAUCGGGUACAACCUAAAAAGAAAAGGAUUUAACUAUUAAGAGAAGACUGUUGAUAAAUUCAUCAUCAAUGUUUACUUACCACAAGCUGUAAACUUUAGUAUACUAACACUGCAAAUGAUACUUCAAAACAGGUAGCAAGUUAACGAAAAGAAAUUCACCUUCACUGGUUUCUUUUGUGGACGCAGCGAUUCAAGCAGAGACAGUUUGCUCACAUUGAACUCAAUUUGGGAAUGCAAAUGUUCAAGUUUCGGAGUCCGCCUCUCUACACUCUCAAGCAACUGCUUGUACACUACCACACUCGGCACCUCCACCUCUCGAUUUAGCGACAAUGAGUCCAACAUCUUUCCUGCACUGUCCACUUUGAAAGGGCCAUUCGUCAGUGUGGUCAAGUCUGAAACCACCGAAGAAGCCGAUGGCUGAGUACCCUGAGGUCCACAGUCCACCAUCUUCGUAUCCAAUUCCUGCACAUAAUCCACCACAGAAGGCCCUUCUCGGUCAUCUUCCUCUAUAGCCAGAACUUCUUCUAUGCUCGAAUCCUCAGAAACUCGGUCAGUUUCAACCUCUUCAUCCAAUUCAAUCACCUCCUUGCCCUUGUUCAAAUAACGGAAUGUAUCUAACGCCCUGCUCUUCGCCUUUUCCAAAUGGAAAGACAAUAAACUGCCCAUUAUGACACCCGACCGCUCCUUCUCAUGAACCCCUCUGGUUUUUGGGCUCGAAUCUUCUCUGUUCGAGAAGAACCCGAAUUUGCCUGUUCUACAAGGGGCGUGAACUCUCGUCAGUGGCGGCUUUAUAUCUGGGUAACGAGAGACCCUCGAAGCGACGCUAUUGGAAGAUAAUAUGGGCCGGUCCGGGAUUUGCUUCACAUAAGAGAAUCUGGGUCGCUUUGAAAUUUGAAAAUUCUGCGAAUACGGAGAUGGGUGUGCAGAAUUCAAGCUCAAACACUCGUCCCCUCGCUUACGAUUGCUGGUUAGUGCUCCCAUUGAUAAACCCAGAGCACAAAAAGACCUAGAAAUUCACAUCUCAUCCAAAGAAUGCCAUCUUAGAGCAAACACAACCAAUUUGAAAUUUUUGGUGGGCGGAUUGAAUGAGUAAUCAGCUGGCGAAACUUAAACCCUAAAUGCGAGGCAAUUGAAACCAAAAGUUAGGGUUUUGCUUAAGGUCCAAAGAAAAAGUAAAAAUUAGAGGAAGAGAAUGGUUCGAUUUCAAAAUCACAGAGAUUUGAAGGGAGGGAACAAAACCCUAUAAACGCAUAGGAAGAGGGGGUCGAUUUCAAAUAAGCACGCACCAGAAAAUCUGUCUAGACAAAUAUCGAGUGUUCCCGCUACAAAAUAAAAAAAGGGGGCUGAGAUGAGAGAGAGAGCGGAGGAGGAGCUUGUUUUCCUUAAAUAUUUGUUAUUAACGUUGAAGAGGAUUUUCAAUUUUGAUGCACCAGAGCUUGAGUUGGGAUCUGUAACCCGAUUUGCUGUAGGAGGCGUUUCGGCUUUCCCGGUUCGGUGUAGGAAAUUAUAUGGUAUUUUUCUAUUAUUAUUUUUUAAAUAGUUGCACGUAACACUUGUAUGAAUCGGGAAAUUAACCCAACACAAAAAAUAGAAUCAGGAAAUUAAGAAUAUGAGAAAUAAUAAAGGGGAAUUCAAUAUUAUACCCAAUAUAAAAGUUCAAAUUAAAAAAAAAUUAUAUAUGAAAUGGACUUUAGAAACACACUCAAAGCCCAUUUACAACAUAACAAAAAGAUUUUUAACUUCUUUUAAAUUACAAUACUAUCAUUGAUUUUUUAGAACAAACUCAACUCAAAAACCUCAUAAAAAAGCCCAAAACACUCAAUAGGGCAUCAAAGUAAUUUAAUAAUCAAAAUUAAACCAAAUAGGGCCAGUUAUCAUUUUUUGAGUUUGUUUAUAUAAAUUAAAUAUUGUAUGAUUUUAUAAUUUAGUGCUAAAAAUAGGUAUAUGACUAAAUAUUUCAAGAAGGAAUAUCAUAUGAAAUUAUUUCAAAUUAAUAUGUUUCCUAAGUCUUGUAGGGUUUAAUUAGGUAUAUGUUAAAUGUAUGAAAAUCAAGAACUGAAAUAUUUCAAUACCCAUGUGUUAGUAAAUUCAAGAUAAGUGAGACACGCCAAUUCUAAAUAAGUCAGUAUGCCAACAAGGAAAAAAUUGUCCAAGUAGGCAUGGUUACUUCUCAAUGCACACACUUCUUGGUUAAGGAGAAAAAAUUGUGCAUGACUAUCACACUAAAAUAUUAUAUUACUAAUUUAUAUGUUAUAAUAUAAAUGUAUCAUCGAUUUAUAUUUUAUAAUAAUAAUAAUAAAUAAAAUAUACAUUAUAGCAUAAGUAAAUUUAUAACACCACGUAAAUGUUGACCUGUCACAUUAAAAAAUUCCUCGUUAAGGAGCUAUUGCUACCCUUCUGACCGUCCCGCCUCUAUUACUAACUCCCAAUCUAUAUACUACAUUCGGAGACAAUAUUCCAAAGUAUAAAAUAAAAGUUAUGCAUGUCAUGGUAAAUCUUGGACAUGCCACGCUCUAAGGUCCCAAUCUGGGCACUGCUAUUCUAUGACUUUAAAUGUGUUUUUUUUUUUAAUACAAGCGAUAUUUUAUUUUAAUAUGAUUUAAACUAUUGGAAUGGAGAUUCAAACAGCAGAAUAAUAUGAUUUAAACUACUAGAAUGAAGAUUCAAACUACAGAAUGGAAAACACAUUCACUCUAACCAACUUAUGACUUUAAUCACUGAACAAAGAAAGAGCUUGAGUUUGUUGGAUUGGGAGUAAUUUAAAUAAGAAUAAUGAUUGGUCAAUUUUUAUUUCAAGUAUUUAUGAAUUUGGGGAAAAGUAGGUGGGUAAGAAAUUGGAGACGAUUAGGUAAAUCUUUGAGUUUUUAAGCAAGAAGCAUACAAUUAGGGGAGGAAGCUUAACCAGAUCCAGUACAUCCAUUGUUUACUCAAAGACUUGAAAAAUAAUACAAAAUUAAUGUUUCUUUCCCUAAAUACCAUGUUACUUUGCAAAUUGCAAGACCUAAAGGGCACUGGAGUAAGUAACAGUUAUUUGACGGUCGCUAAUAUGUACAUAUAACAGGUUAUGGAUACAAGGUCCUCCGUAUAUCGAAGCCAAAUUAUUCAGCUGGGUUAAAUAUCUGAAACAUAAGAAAAUAUUUGUAUCAGCAAAUUGAAUUUGCAGGGAGGAUAGUUAUUAUCACAUUAUUCCAGAAAAAUUUAAAACUUACAUUGUUCAAUUCAUACAAGCUGCACAACAGCAGCCACUCUUAAGGCCCCAUUUUGGAGAAGAUCAGCAAGCUCAUCAAAUAACAGAGCUGUUCGCCAGCCCCAGCCCUUUGGAGCUUUCGGUAAAAGCGUGCCUGUUUGCUUGAAACUUCCAAACACCAUGACUUCCCUCUUUGAUGGACAGAUUAACUACAUCAUAAACGUACAUGAACUACAAAAUCAAUAUGCCAGAUUCUGGUGUAACAAACACUGAUUACACGAGAAUCGGUGAAACUGAGAACAUUUUGUUCACUUUGGAUCUUACCUGAUACCGGGCAGUAACCUUUUCACGAGAAUCGACAUACAUCUGCACCUGUGUCGGGCACACCGUAAUGUAUCAACUAACAACUACUAGGGAUUAUAAAUGCAAAUAAACAUACUAGACAGAAAAACAAGGUGAAACAGAAAGGGUGAUCAUUGAAAUGUGAAGAUAAGAAGAAGCAUUAUUCUCCACAACUAAAAUAACCCAUCUCAUGCUCAAACAAUCAAGAGCAGGCUAACCUUUCUAAAUGAAUCAGUAAUCUCUGCCUUACGUCGGUGAAGAAAUAAUCCUGAAAUAACAAACAUAUGAUAUACGUUCAGCUUAAGGAACAUAUUUCAAAUAAAACUUAGGAAAGCAAAAUAACAUGUUUCCGAGGUAUAUCAUUGAACAGCAAAGAACAGUACCAAGUGUUCGACGUCCUUGAGGGUCUUCAUCAUUAAAAGCCUGAACGCUAACCUAUAAAUUUGAACAACAAAAUCCAAUCUGUAUGAGAGCAUGGAAAAUGGAGAUCAAAAAGCAUCAUCACAAAUCUAAAUCUUAUAUUGAAAAGAAAAUAAGUUUAUACUGAAACACCUUCCAUAAAGAACCAGCAUAAAAGACUUCUGGAGAGUGCUUCACUUGGCCAUCACUGAGCCUGUGCACAUCCUCAAAUUGCACCCUGUAGAACCAGGAUCGAGAACUUAAGUGAAAAGGUAAACUAGAGACCAAAAAAAAAACUUGACUUGUAAUUAGUAGGAUGGAGAAUUGAACAAAAUGACCAAUCAUUAGAUCCAUGACACUUGGACAAAUAAUCCAGUCCCAUGAAAAAAGGCUUAGUAUAAAUAGAUGUUCAAAGGCACUUGUAAGCAACUUGUAAAGGAGACUUCUGAGCUAGGAUAUCAUAGGACAGCAUCCUAAAAAGAAUUUAUGGAUUCUUAUUUUUCAAAAGAGAGCUCAAAAUCUGAAGCAAAGCUGUAAAGGAUUAAUGGAAAGAGCUCACGUACCCAAAUCGGAAAGGAGGGAAGUGGCUUAAAGGUGUUUUCAAAUCCAAUGAUAUGGAAGAACUGUUUGGAUUAUCCCACUCAAUCCCAAUUGCACGGUCUGACGACUCUACCAUCUGCACAGGUAUGCCACUCGUACUUGGCACUGCCAUGGAAGUUCCAGGCAUUCGGCUUUGCACAUCCAUCUCAUAGGCUCUCUCUGUUUGCUCCCCAUGAGCAUUAGCUACAUUGUUCCCUCCUUGGCUUAGCCCAACCAAAGCCGUCAAGCCAUCUCCAGACAGGUCCCCACUAUGGUCAGCUCUAGCCUCUGAAUCAUCAUUAGCAAGAGACUGCUGGCAAUUUCUGUUGCCCAUGCCAAAUGGCACACGGGAAAAGACAAACCGAGUUGGAGGCCAGGCAGUUGCUGGGACAAAUGUAGUUCCGCGUCCAAUACCAGCAAGCCCAUCAAUAGGACCCCUAACAUGCACACGUACAGGCCUAAAGAGGCCAUUUCCUUCACCUGCAGAAGACUCAGCAACAUACACGCCAGGAGAAUUAUUCUGAUUGUGCUCUUGCAUGUAAUAUCCAGUGGUAACUCCAUGUGAGAAUGAAAAUUGCUGUCUGCAAGUGCAUGCUAAACUUGUAAGACAGCAACUUUUGCAUGUAUCAGCACCAGUUUCUUGAACUCUCUGGCUUAACAGCAUCUAUAUGAUCACAUACCAAACAAACAAGUUAUUGCAUAAACAGAUAGAUUUUUCUUUGGUAAGUAAUAGAUAAAUGAAAAUUAAAAAUACAACAAUCUCCUCAAAAGCAUAACCGCAGGGCAACACUUUGUGUAUGAAUGUGGUAGAAAUAGCUUUCCGAAUUUCUCAUGGUGGCAGUGGGCGGAGAGCCCUUGCAGUCAGUCUGCAAGGGCCUAUAAUUGAUUUAUCAGCAGUAUGGUUUAUAAGAGAUAGAAUAGUAAAAGCAAGAAAAACUUAAAGAGAAAACAGUAAACAGAAAGAGACCUGCAACCAAAGACCAUCAUUUACAGCUUUGCAGGGGAAUCCCAAUUCCUCAAGUUGCUUUCUUACACUAAGAAGUGCCUCAAAAGACAUGUUGCAGUAUAAAAGAGAUCCCCCUUCAAAUAUAUUAACAAAUGCAUCAUAUUCCUCACCACCAACCCCAAAGUUCCCUUUAGCAUAACCUUUAAGCUGUCUUCUGCCUACAGUUCUGCCACCCCAUGAAAGAGGAGGCAUGCCACAUCUUCCCCAAUCAUUUGGCAUUAGCUCACUAGUGGAAGAGUUCAUUGAAGAGCAUUGCCUUGACUGAUCCCUGGCAAGCCAACUAUUGUUAUUUAAGUGAUAGCAUGAUCCUUCAUCAGAUGGCCCUUCCAUAGCAACUCCAUUUGCCCCCAAUCUACUUGCUCCAACACCAACUGGCAUUUCAGUAUAACAUGAAGUUCUAAUUACAUCCAUUUCUGAAAAUGAAUUACUCAAUGAUGAAGGACCACCCAUGCUGCAGUUGCAUCCUGGCUCCAAAUUGGACUGAGGGUAUGCAACUUGUUGUACUUGCUGUUUGGAAUUUGAAACUCCUGUUUGGAAGUCAACCACACAGUCUGCAAGCUCUAUCAGAAGAUUACGAGCAGUAUUAUGGCCAUCUAAAUCAUCUUUUAGAUUUAAGCGCCCCAGUUCAGCCUCCAACCUUUUAUUAGUGAAACUACCCAUCAGAUUCUUUCCCUUUGCAUUAGAUGAAUCAGAUUGAGUAUCUGUUCCUGCCUCAGAACUGGAACUUCCAUGAUCAUAAUCUUCUUGUUUGCAUUGAGCACCUUUUGCAAGGAAUGUAUACAAUGCCAGUUCAAACCUGUCCAUAGAAGAAGAAAUUUUUUUUUUUUUUUAAUAGGAACUAAGCUGUGGACAAUAAAACCUAGUCAGAGGCCAUCAAUACUCCUUACCGUUUCUCUUCACUGGGUACCCAGAGCUCAUCAGAGGUCAGCAAUGCAAGCAAGGUUUGGGCAGAAAGUUUUGGAAGCACCUGUCCAUGACCAGGAAAUUAAAAAAAAUAUGCAGACAGUAGGUUUGCAUGAACAAAAUUGAAAAACUAAAAGUAUACUUAAUCCUCAUAAAAAUCAAAUAUACUGACAACACAGAUGCCAAGAGAGAGAAAAAAAAUUGAACUACACAGUCAUUAUUAAAUUUAAAGAUUGAGCUUACACCAUGUUUUUUUUAAGGCUGUGGGCAAGGAUAAAUAUGUCUAUAUAAAAAAGUGCGAAAAAUAAGUAUGUUUCCUCGGUCCACUGCUCUGUCCUUUCCUCUAAUAUUUUCUUAUGUUAUCAUAUUAUAUGAUCCCAAAGGAACAGAGAAUAUGUGAGAAACUGACAAAACCCACAAGGCAUAAUUAUGAAGUAAGCUCACCAUCCAUUACCUCUUUCAACUCCAUGGAACCACUUUGACAAAGGUAGCCCCAGCAAGCAUUUCUUACUCGUUCUCCAUGUAUGCCAUAAUCUUGGCUCUCUGCAAACACCUGAAAGCACAGGUAGACGCCAUCAAUAACAUAAGAAAUCGGUAGCAUGUCGACCAAACACAAAGAGGCAGCACAAGAAUUUCGAACCUGAUAGGCUAAGAAGUUUGAAGUCCAUAAUUCAGAUAUAAUGAAGUCUGUGCAUAUUGCACAUAAAUCCUGCAUUAAAAGAAUAGCAAGAUGUAAUCCAAAUGCACACAUGGGGAAGGCAUUCCAAGAGCAGAAAAAUUAAAGUCCCAUAAAAUUAAAAAAGCACAAGAAACAUAAAAAUGAACUUUAGGUCUACAAUGAGAAUAUGAUACCUGAAGGUCAAGAAAAGAAGCGGCAGCCAAAACACGAAAUGCAUUGUUAUCAUUAAGCUUGGGGUGGUGGCCGUAUAGAUAUGCCAAAGCCAUUGCAAUUGCUUCUCCGUUAACAUUCUUAUCGUCAAUAUGUAAGGUUAAAACCGGCUCAUUGGCUUCUUUCCAAGGUCCAUGAAGCAUGUUCCUGCCAGGCACACAGAGGGUAGCACAUGAAAACCCACAAUUUUACUCGUAAGCACCCAAUCAAUACAUAAUAACGCGUGUAUUAUUAAAAAAACCAAUACUAAUUCCCCAGAAAUAGCAUCAACAAAUAUACUUAAACUAUUUUAAUCAACAAAUAAACCCCAAAUUUUCUGCUUUCAGCAUCAUCAAACAACGCCCAAGCAAAGCGGGAGGGCGCGAAUUCAAGGGCAUUUUGGUAAAUUGACAGGGUAAAGGGACCUGAAGUAGGGGCUGCGUGAGAGAAUGAGGCGGUGGAGGUGGUAGGUGGAGCCCAUGGCGUGGACGACCAUAUCGGAGAAGGCGCCGGAGUUGAAGCCCUCCAAUUGAAUGUGGUCGCAGAGCGCCGUGAGGUUGCAAUCCAGUGCGCGCAGCUCGCUGCUGCUCCGGUCGUUGUCGGAGUGCUGAGAGGGCUGGAUCGUCAUCUUCAUUUGCGGCCCGUACGACCUGGCGGGAUUGCUAGGAUACUGAGGGUCCAUAUGAACCACACCUGCACUUGCACUUGGUUGGUUUUUCGAUUAUCAAGUGUACGAGAGUGGCGAUGAUGAGAGUGAGAGAACGGUGCUGCAGAUCAGAGAGCCAUUGUUGAUUUGAUUUGCUGUUGUUACUUGCUCUACACGAACUGCUGCAGCUUUGGAAAUGCAAAGGGGAUGGGCGCGGGUCGGACCCGACUGACUUGACCCGUUUGGCCCGCCCAGCCCAUUAGUUAUAUGUUUUUCUCUAUGCGUUGAGACGACGUCGUAUUAAGUCGUUCUCGAAACGGCGGUGUUUAGUACCAGUUUCAGUGUCAUCGUCUUUGUUGGUGUUAAGCUCAACUCUCUCUCUCUCUGGCAGAUUGGUUUAAACUUUAAACCCUAAACCCUGCGCUUCAAGAUUUUCCGGUAUGUGAAUUUACAAGCCCAUAACUUUUGUCAAGCGUUUCUUCUUUUUGUUUCUAGGGCACAGUUUAGGAGUCGAAAUGCUUAGCAAUUCGUGUCCCUGCAAUCGAAGCUCAGUCCUCAACCAUGAACUGUUUCCCAUUUUCUCUCACUUUCUCAUCAUAUAUGAAAAAUGCUUGCAAAAGCUUCAAUUUUGCACCACAAACUUAGGCCAAAUUCAUAUGAGUUUAUAUAUAAAAAUUGAAUGAAGUGUUAAAGUUUUUCCUUAAUUAAACAUUGUGCUGUGCCCCUCUUGAUAUGCAUUGUUUGUAUUUGCUUAAUGAUUCCCACCCCUCUGCCUCUUCUUUUUCUGUUUGUUUUAGUGUUUUACUUUUCAUGUCUAAUUUUCUAAAUGUUUAGCUUACUGAGUGUGAUUAGAGUACCUUUAGUCCUGAAAUGACUUGUGUGUUGAACUUCUCUAUAAAUUUGGAAGGUGAAGGGCAGACACAGUGUUAGAUUGGGCAUGCUUUUGUGAAGAUGCUCCUAAGAAAACAAGGUAAUUUUGGCAUGUAUACAGAUUCUUUCUUCUCUAUGGAGUCAAGUAUGUUGGUAAACACCGAUCAGAAAAAUAAAAUGUUCACAAAUGUCUUUGGCUUCCAUGAUGUUUGUCAUUUAAUACUUCUGGUGGCAUGUACAGGAAUCACUUCUUACCAUCUGCUUUAUUUUUCCUUUUUGCAGGCAUACGCCAUUUUCAUUUGAACUGCUGUAACAUUUACACUUUUUCAAAAAGGUUUUCAUCCUUGCCAAAUGGGCCUUCUUCUGAACAUGAUAGGAAAGUUGUUUCCUCCAUGGAUAGGGUUAGUUGCGAUAAUUCGAGAAAAGUUGAGGGUGUGAGACAAGUAGUUGAUGAUGUGUGCCAAGUAUUGGAGGGUCGUCCUUGGGGACCUACCCUUGAGAAUGCUUUAUCAAUGCUUGACAACAAACCUCAAUCAGAAUCAGUUAUUGGAGUCUUAAGGAGACUGAAAGAUGUAGGUCUAGCAUUUAAUUAUUUUCGGUGGUGUGAGAGACAAACUGACCAAGCACAUUGUCCCGAAGCAUACAAUUCACUUCUCAUGGUCAUGGCUAGGAGUAGAAAUUUUAAGUUCUUGGAACAGGUCCUGGAAGAAAUGAGUAUUGCAGGAAUUGGCCCAUUUAAUAACGUAUGUAUUGAGUUAGUUGUGAGCUGUGUUAAGUCACAGAAGCUGAGAGAAGCUUUCAAUCUAUUGCAAACCAUGAGGAAGUUCAAAUUCCGCCCAGCAUUUUCAGCCUAUACAACUCUAAUUGGAGCUUUGUCUACAGUUCCUGAAUCUGAUCUCAUGUUGACUCUCUUUCAUCAAAUGCAGGAGAUAGGUUAUGAAGUUACUGUGCAUUUAUUUACAACUAUUAUUCGUGUAUUUGCCAAGGAAGGCCGAGUUGAUGCUGCUCUCUCCUUGUUGGAUGAGAUGAAGAGCAACUCUUUUAAUGCGGAUGUUGUUCUUUAUAACGUCUGUAUAGACUGCUUUGGUAAAGUCGGUAAGGUGGAUAUGGCCUGGAAAUUCUUUCAUGAAAUGAGAAUGCAUGGCAUGGUGCCUGAUGAUGUGACAUAUACUAGCAUGAUAGGAGUUCUCUGCAAAGCUGAGAGACUAGGUGAAGCGGUGGAGUUAUUUGAGGAGAUGGAUGUGAAUAGGAAAGUACCUUGUGUGUAUGCGUAUAACACCAUGAUCAUGGGCUAUGGUUCUGCUGGAAGGUUUGAGGAAGCAUACAGCUUAUUUGAGAGGCAAAAAAGAAAGGGGUGCAUUCCGAGUGUGAUUGCAUAUAAUUGUGUUCUCACUUGCCUAGGGAAGAAGGGAAGAGUAGAAGAAGCGUUAAGGAUUUUUGAUGAGAUGAAGAAAGAUGCAGCUCCCAAUCUUCCAACUUAUAACAUUCUAAUAGACAUGCUUUGCAAGGCAGGUAACCUCGAGGCUGCUCUGCGUGUUCGGGAUGCCAUGAAAGAAGCUGGUUUAUAUCCUAAUGUUAUGACUGUAAACAUAAUGAUUGAUCGACUCUGUAAAGCUCAGAAACUUGAUGAUGCUUGUUCUAUCUUUGAAGGAAUGGAUCACAAAGUUUGCACACCAGAUGCAGUUACGUUUUGUUCUCUUAUAGAUGGCUUGGGUAAACAAGGAAAGGUAGAUAAUGCCUACAGGCUUUAUGAGAAGAUGCUGGAUUCUGAUCAGAUUCCAAAUGCUAUUGUAUAUACAUCCCUCAUCAGGAACUUCUUCAGGUGUGGUAGAAAGGAGGAUGGUCACAAAAUAUACAAAGAAAUGGUGCGUAGGGGCUGUUCUCCUGAUCUGAUGCUUCUUAACACCUAUAUGGAUUGUGUUUUCAAGGCUGGUGAAAUUGACAAAGGUAGAUUUUUGUUUGAGGAGAUAAAGGCUCAAGGAUUCAUCCCGGAUGUGCGGAGCUAUUCAAUCUUAAUUCAUGGCCUUGUAAAAGCAGGUUUGGCACAUGAAACCUAUGAAUUAUUUCAUGCGAUGAAGGAUCAAGGCUGUGUAUUGGACACCCGUGCUUACAAUGCCAUCAUUGAUGGAUUCUGCAAAUGUGGAAAGGUGAAUAAAGCAUACCAGCUGCUGGAGGAAAUGAAAACUAAGGGUCACCAGCCCACAGUUGUUACUUAUGGUUCUGUCAUUGACGGGCUUGCCAAGAUUGACAGACUUGAUGAAGCAUACAUGCUUUUUGAAGAAGCAAAGUCAAAGGGAGUAGAAUUGAAUGUAAUUAUUUAUAGUAGUCUUGUUGAUGGGUUUGGGAAGGUGGGUAGAAUUGAUGAAGCAUAUCUAAUCAUGGAAGAGCUAAUGCAGAAGGGUUUGGCACCUAAUGUUUACACAUAUAAUUGCUUGCUUGAUGCACUUGUGAAAGCUGGUGAAAUUGAUGAAGCCAUUGUUUGCUUUCAAUCCAUGAAAGACUUGAAAUGUACACCCAACCAUGUAACUUAUAGCAUUCUCAUAAAUGGUCUUUGUAGAGUUAGAAAAUUCAAUAAGGCUUUUGUGUACUGGCAAGAGAUGAAGAAACAAGGGUUACAGCCCAACACAAUCACCUACACCACCAUGAUAUCCGGACUUGCAAAGGCUGGGAACAUAAGAGAUGCUAGUGGGCUUUUUGAGAGGUUUAAAGCCAGUGGUGGCAUUCUCGAUUCUGCUAGUUAUAAUGCUAUGAUAGAAGGAUUAAGUAGCGGAAAUAGGGCAAUGGAAGCAUAUGCACUUUUUGAGGAAACUCGGCAGAAAGGUUGUCAUAUUCAUACCAAGACAUGUGUUGUUCUGUUGGAUGCCUUGCACAAGGCUGAAUGCCUUGAGCAGGCAGCAAUUGUCGGUGCUGUGCUUAGGGAAACUGCAAAGUCUCAACAUGCUUCAAGAUCAUGGUAAAAUUGCAUAUCGUGCAAUUUACUGGAGGGAUUAAUAGAUGUGUUUUGCUCAGUGAGUGGUGAUGACACAAGGUGCCUUCUCAUGCAUUCAUGCUGAUGGAGCAAAUAUUGGGGGAUGGGAGAUCUUUUUUCUUUUUUUUUCCUUCCUGAAAAGUCUUCGUUCCAUCAAUUCCUUAACAUGAUUGAAGUCGCUCUCUAUAGAGGUAACUCCUUUACGAUUACAAUUGUAGUUACUGAAAUUGGAUGCAUGUAUCUGGAAUAGGAGUCCUGAGUCUCAUGACUUUUGGGACUACGCCAACAUGUUAUUCCUCCUGAAAAUGUUCUGAUUAAUUGAAUAUUCAGGGUUGUAACUUUUAAAAUCUAGAAUUCUAUGGUGUUUUAGUGCAUGUGUGCUCAAUAUUGUCUUGUGCUUUUUGGCGCAUGCAUAAUAUACAAAAAACACACAGUUUGGUAGAGGAAAGCUGUGUGAAUGAUGUGUAAUUCUUCUGGCAGAUGUUGGCCUUUUCUCUUUCCCUUUUCCUUUUGUGCUGAUGUGGUUCUGGCAGAUUUUCAAAUUUCCAUGAUUCUAAAUUCUCAAUACAAAUGAUUCAGUUUUCGACCAUUUUUAUGUAUUGAUGUUGUAGCAAGAGUUCUAUUGAUGCAACCUUUGCAUUGACUAAAUACUUAUGGUUGCAGGUAUAUAGUGUUUCGAAUUUGUCUCGGUUGUGAGAUGUCAAGGAAAUUGAGUUUGAAGAGAAUGAACCUUCCUUCCAAGAUGUAUGUCGUCCAGCCCAACCUCGGACUCUUUCUUCCCGACCUAUUUUACUCUUUGCAACACUAACUUCAGUCGCCGUUAUUCAGGAGCAUGAGUUUGUUUUGAGAACCAAUGGUUCUUGAUUGAAUACAGUGCCUUGCCAAUUAUUCCGGAUACUCGGUUCAAUUGAGUUAAUGGGCCUCUUUGGAGGAGCAGCCCCCCUCCCCUACAAAGAGGGCAAAUUUUUGGUUUGUAUGGCCGAUGGCCUAUGUUGGAUAUAGUCGUUGGGCGGGUCAUCUUCUUCUGUAAAUUUUUCUCUUUCCUCCUGAGCAUAGGAAAAUUUUGUAAGUGACACCCAAUAGCUAGUUCUAUAAUGUUAUACCCAAGCACUUUAUGUUUUUGGAUAAAUUAAAUAAAUAUAUAUAAAGCAAAAGGCAGAGAAUGGUAAAAUAUUCAAAAUAUCAAAAAAUGUCUUUGGUUAAUGCAAACAUUAAGAAUUGAAAUUAUUAAUUAAAUGAGAAUAAUAUGGUAAAUUUAUACUUUUUCAUAUUUAAAAAAAUUAAAAUUAAAAGAAAAAUAAGAUAAUAGAUUUUAUUUUUUCCCACUAACCUUUUUGCAAGCGCUUCAGCACUUAAGAGGUUAUUUUUUUUAAAAAAAAUUAAUUUAUUUUAAAAUUAAAAAAGAUAAUGGGUAGUUGUGUUCCAUAAAAAUAGGAUACGUGAUUUUUCUUUUAAUUUUAAUUUUUUUAAUAUGAAAAAAUGUGAAUUUACCAUAUUAUUCUCAUUUAAUUAAUAAUUUCAAUUCUUAAUGUUUGCAUUAAUCAAAGGUAUUUUUUGAUAUUUUGAAUGUUUUACUAUUCUCUGCCUUUUGCUUUAUAUAUAUAGAUUAUUAUUUUUUAAUUCUAAAAGAAAUUUAAAUUUAAAAAAAAAAGGCUAAGAAAGCCAAUAUUCAUGCCACGUGUCUUAACGGUAUGGAAAUUUGAAAUAUAGCCACUAUACAGAAAGAUACGCGGUGCACCAAAGUGUAGAGUGUGAUGCGCUUCGUUAAUGUAACCGUUAACACGGGAGUGUCCAACGGAUAUUUUUACAGCUUUUCAAAUUUCAAAUUUUCAAACGAAAGGUAAACAAUAUUUUACUUUCUUUAUCUGUAUCAUCAAACCCCUCCACCAACCCUUCAUUCUCCUCGUUCUCCUCGUCAUCAAGUCCCAUCUCUCUCUCUCUCCCUCUUCUUUGUUCCUUCUCUGCGAUUUCAAUGGCUAUGGCUCUCAGGCCCAUCGAUAAUGCUCUUCCAACCACACCAGAAAGGCCGAAAAAGCAAACCAAAGUUCCUGUUUCUAUCCAAAAGCAACCCGAGUUUGGGGUCAAUGAUGAAAACCAGGCUCCACUUCCUGCAGCAACCAUUGAUGCCACCAUUGAUUAUAUCUCUUCUGAGAAUCUCAAACCCAUCUCAGACCCUGAUUUCAAAAUUCUGGUAAUUUUCCAAAUUUCUUUUAUUUCUUUCUGUAAUUUAGAACAAACCCAACUGGAAUUUGGCAAUAAAUUCUUCAAUUUUUGGAAUUUCAGAGCUUGAAUGAGGGAUUAGAUUCAAAGGAUUGGGUGAAGGUGUGCGAGUCUCUGAACAAUGUUAGGCGUUUUGCACUCUAUCACUCUGCUCUUUUGUUUCCUACUCUGUAAGUGCCUUUUCUUCUCUUUUUUCUAUUGUCUGCUGUAAUUAGUUAACAAAUCGACGUCUUUUUGUCAGUGAUAGCGUUAACAUGUAUAUUGUGGUAUGAACAGAGAGAAAGUUAUGGUGGUGAUGGUUAAGGCAAUGAAGAAUCCCAGAAGUGCUUUAUGCAAGACAUCCAUUAUGGCGUCGUUUGAUAUCUUUAAGGCCUUUGGUGACAGUUUAUUUGACUCUGCCACCUCUGCUGCAUUUGAUCAAUUGGUGUGCACCCAAUACAAUUUUUGAUUUUCUUAAUUUCCUUUUCCAUGAUCAUAUUUUCAUCAUCAUUUUGUUAUAUUCUGAUGGACGGCUUGGAUUGUUUGAUUGGUUCACAGCUGCUGCAACUGCUGCUGAAAGCGUCUCAAGACAAACGGUUUGUGUGCGAAGAAGCAGAUAGGACCCUGAACACAAUGGUGCAGUCUUUGACUCCUCUGCCUUUGCUUCAAAAGCUUAGAGCCUAUGCUUCCCAUGCCAACCCCCGAGUCAGAGCCAAAGCUGCCGUUUCCGUCUCAGCUUGUGUCUCUAAGAUGGUAAAUACUUAAUGAAGUGUUCUCUUGUCUUCUAAGCAUAACAUUUUUUCUCAAGCAAAAUGGGGGUUUUCUACCAAUUUCAGGGGCUUGAAGGAAUGAAGGAUUAUGGGCUGGUCUCUUUGGUUAAAAUGGCUGCAGAUUUGUUGAAUGAUAGGCUGCCGGAGGCAAGGGAAGCGGCACGGGGUAUUGUGCUUUCGGUGUACAAUGCCUAUACAGAGAAUGAAGAGGAGAAGCAAGAGAUAUGGCUAAACUUUUGCCAGUCUAAUUUGACACCAAUUCAUGCUCAGUCCAUGGUCAAAAUUACUUCUUCUCAGUAGAGUUUAGAAGAUAGUGAUUAGUGAUUUUGCUGGUAGAAGCAGCUAUAGUCUGAGUGCUACUUUGGCCAGUGAUUCUGCUGGUAGAAGCAGCCUGGUAGCAGCUACUAUGUUAGGAGUGUUACUGGUCAAAUGAAAGGGAAGAUGAGUUUACAUACAUCUUCCAGUUUCAUGUAAAUUUCUUCUUAAUGAAAUUUUCAUUGUUAAUUACGAGCCAACCAAGUGACCAAAAAAGUGAUACAGCGAUCCUCUUUGUGCAUAAAUUUUCAGUAAUUUAUUUGUCUACAAUAUUGUUAGGGCACCUAGUCUUCUACAGCCAGCAACAAAUUAUCAGUAAUUUCUGGUGUGUGCAACUACAACAUGCCACAAUUGCAAGCCAGCCAUUCAUUUCACAAACAGAUUAAAAUCAUCUGCUCAAUAUCCCAAAAACAGAUUAAAUUCAUUCCAUCAGCAGAUUAAAAUCAGCUGCUCAAUAUAUGUACAAGUGAAAGUCAACAUAACUCAUCUAAGCUAUUCCCAUGCAUUGUCUAUUAGUUUGAAUAUAUGAAUCCUACGUUUGAAAGAUUUCCCGUUGAAAUCAUUUGAUUGAAAAGAAAGAAAUAAAAAGACAUCCCUACGAGCAAAAACUGCACCCUUCGCUAUAUUUUGUGACAACCGGGUCAUUCACAUCUGCUCUUGCAUAUUCCACAACCACAAGGAAAUAACAUAUUCACAGUUUACCCUAACAAACCUUCAGUUGAGAUUAGGGAGACCCAAGCCAUCCUAACAUCAGAAAUUAUAGAACCCUAAAACCAAAAGCCACCCUGAUUGGAGGCAGCACUUGAAACAGGAAAAAAAACCAAAAUUUCAAUCAUGUUCAACCAAAGAGCGCAAAGCCAUCUCAACUUCUUCAAAAGGUUGCCCGGCAUACAGCGGAAGCUGCCCCUUUUUCACAAAUAUUACCUUCAUGUUAUCUGAUUUUAUUGCUUCACGAAGUUCCUACAAAAAAUAAAGCCCCUUUCUCAGCUUAGCACAGAUGACAAGAAUGACAGAAAAAGGCAUGUCUAAUGGGAAGUUGUCUUUGAGACAAUUUUAAAAGGUGUCACAGUAUGUUGGACAAUACAAUAGUGACUCAAACAUAAAGAUUUGAUAUGGGUAAGUUUAAACUUUUCUAAAAUCAAAUUAUAAUUCUUACUUUGUUUGGCAAAGGAGCAAUAUCAGCACUGAAAUCACCCAGAUCUUCAAAAAGAGACUCCAAUAGGAAACAGAAGUUAUUGGCAUCAGCACGGUCCUCGAAAGCAACAGUAUAUGAAGAAUCUCUCUGGUUUUGGGGCUGAGAACUGAACUUUAAAGUAUAAAGUCCUCCUUGCCCCUCACUACCAGAACCUCUCCGCAUCAGAAUAACCUGGCAUGGGAUACAUACUAUUUCGAUUGUCAGUUGGAGACAAAAAUGCUUACCCGAACACAAAAUAAGAUACCAAAACACAGACUUUAUUGGUUUGAUAAGUAAAACUUGUAAAUGAAAUUCAUAACGGGGCAUAAAAGGUUAAAGAAAUACAGCUAAAAUGGCACUAUAGAAUGACUAACAAAAUCAUAAAGCAUAAGCUAGAAUUGUAAGCAUCCAUGAAAAUUUUAUGGUAGCACCAAUGAGUAAGUAAAGUUAAAUGGUUGCCUAAGAUGGCUUGGGCAAAUGCAACAAAGUCCAAUUGCUAAACAGGCAGCACAAUUUUAAAAAUAUGUAGUAAAUAUGGAAAAGUUUCACAACAUACCAAAACAUAAGGAAGAUCCAACCACCAUGGAUCAAUCUCAUUCUUCGAUCUAUUGCCACUGACUUUGUUAGGCACUCGUUCCUUUCCAGCUUCUUUGUGUCUUGAACUGCCAUUUACAUGAUCACCAGAUUUUAUGGUAGUUUCGUGGACUUCUUUCUUCAAGCGAGACUUUUUCUUCCCCAACUCUCUUGAUUUUUUUGACUUUACUCCUUCAGAUGACCUCCCUCGUCUUGUCCUCUGGACGGUACCUAAAAUUUAGCAAAUCAAUAAAACAGCCAGACUAACAACAAACCGGUCUUUGUGCAAUUUAAAAACUUUACCAUUCUUUGGUUCAAUAGUUCCAACUCCUAUGUCCUUUCCACUAUCCAUUUUUCCAGUUCCUUUGUCCAAAUGGUUCCCAUCAUCUUGCAACAAUUUGGGUUCUUCCUCCAAAGUCUCAGAAACACUUUGUUCGAAAUCCAACUCUGGCCGGUUUUCAUCAUGCUCUUCCAAACCUCCAAAUCCCUUGGGACUUCUUUUCGCCUCAGCCUUAAAUUUAAGCUUUUUCUUAAACAUCAAUCCCCCUUCCCCCUCUUUCAAAUUCUCAUCUUCACUAUUCUCAUGCUUUCCAAAGUCUUUCACAUAUGGACCCUGUAACUUCUCCCUUUUAGAAUUCAACCUAUUCUGCAACUUAAGCAACCGCUCCCCGACUUCUUUUUCAAUACCGAUUCUAUUCCUUGGCAUCGAACUUUCAUCAAUAACAUCAUCUUCGUCACCAACAUUUCCCUUCCCUUCCUUUUUCUCUUGCUUUCGCGCUUCCCUUGCCAUUGCUCUAAUUUCUUCUAUUUUCUCAUCCAACUGGAGCUCAUCCAAAUAAACCACAUUGCUCAAUCCAGACCCAACAUUUGUAUUCAAAACUUUCCCUUUGGAUAAACUUAAACCUGAACUCUUGGAUUUCCUAUUUUCCUCAUCAGGAUUGUCAUUUCCCAGUAGCCAAACAGUAAAAAACGCCUGAAACAAAUAAGCCCCAACCAAAUACGCCCCAAAUUUAAGGACAGACUUCGCAGAUAAUUUACCAACAAUGCCAUUAUACUCCGGUGUCGUCUCAGAUACGCUGAAUUCCUCGACCUUAUUGACUUCUCCGGCAACGACGUCGCCUUGGUCGGAGCUACGCUCGAGAUUAGAGUCGUUUUCAUAUUGGGUUACGGGGGACUCAAUGGGAAUUACGGGGCUUGUUAGGGGUUGUUCGGGAAGGAGAGGGGUUCUGGGUGGCGGGUCGGGUUCAGCUAGGGUUUUGAGGAUUUUCGGGCGCAGAUAGUUUUUCCGUCGUGUGGGCUUUGAUGCUAGGGCAAUAGAGGCUGAUAGGAUGGGUUUGGUUGGUUUGGCGGCGGAGCAGAUUGGAGGCGUGAGGAAAGGGAAGGUGGCGCAAUGCGCACCCGCCAUUGCUGGUUAGGAAAGGAAGGUGCUUCGGUUUGAAUUUUCAGCUAGAGUGUAUUUGAAGGGCUGGCCCGAGCUAAAUGCGAAUGUAGCGAAAUUAGUUAUGAGCCCGUUGAGUUGAGGCCCUUCUUUUGUAGCCCAUUUUAGAACAAAAAAAAAAAGAAUAAAUUUAAUUUGAAGAAAGAAGAAAUUUUAAAAAAAAUGUAAAGAAAAAUUCAUUGACACAAAACAUUAAAUUGUAUCUCAUGUUCUUUAAGAGGUUUUCGAACGUGAAAACUCAUUUUGUAAAACGAUAACAAAUGUCGCCUUAAAUUAUUUUGUUACGAAGAUAAUGAAAUUAUUUACCUAUUAAAUUAUAUGAUAGAUUGAUAAAUAACCCACUCCUUGAAGCUUGUAUCAUUGUGUGAUGAAAAGUGCCAAUUGGGUUUGUUGAACAUUGUGCUAAUGAGGUUUGUUCAAGAACACCAAUAAAAAAAAAAAGGAGUGUUUUCAUUUGUGUUAUCGUCUAAGGGUUCGUUUGAGACUGCUUCUCUAGGAAGUACUUCUGCUCAUAAGUCUUUCUAACAAAAGCACUUUUAUUAUAAAAAUCUUAAAUUUUCAUAAAAAAUUAAAUUGAUUUGUGGAAAAGCACUUGGAAGUGCUUCAUAAAGAAGCACAUAGCAGGUGCUUCUCUAAAAUGCGCUUCUAUAACCCAGAAGUGCUUCUAAACUUUUCUGCUAAACCAUGUCAGAAGCGCUUUUGGUUAUCAGACAAAAGCGCUCCCAAAUACGCCCUAAUUAGAGCAUGAGUGUGAUUAACUUCUUAUACGCAAUUUGGAACCACAAAUAGUUAGCACAGAUACCAAACCUUGGCCAUACCGUUUUCCCAGAUCGCAAGCAGCCUUUGCUUCUCCUAUAUGAGACAACUUGUAUGUAAUUGAAUGCCUUCGUUUUGUCGCCAACAUUUUACUUUUGUUAACAGAUGUAUGUCUGCAUGUAUAAACCAAAUCAGUUUUGCUCUCUGUUGGUUGGAGUCACAGACUCACAGGUACAGCCCUUACCACUCAGCCUUAUAACAAUCCCACAUCGGCUGAACCAGAGAGGCAUUGACGAGAAUGGGCGUAUAAAAGUAGAAACAAGACAUGAAUAUAAGCAUACCUUUCUCGGCCUUUUGGCUAAGAUCAAGUGUAGUAUCUGUUCUUAUCAGUUUAAUAUCUGAUACGUGGACCAAUGGUCCACACGAUAUUAAAUUAAUUUCUUUAGGGGGAGGGUCCACCACAGUAGCUUGCUAUUGGGACUCUUGCGCGUCGCUCAAGCGUUGCACUACUGCAUGAGCCUGGCGCACCCCACCAAAUCUAGUUCGAACUUAAAAUUAUCCUCUCAAUUGCAAGCCAACCAUUGUGUAUUUUGUAACACCGGAGGACGCAUCCUGAGAAAGAGAAAAAUAUAUGCUGUGAAUUUGCAGGCCUUUAAACUCCGUUCUGGACACAUGAUAUGUGUAUGCCUUCAAACUCUCGUCUUUUGCUGCCCACAACAAUUUGUGCCAGUGGGAUUUUUGGUGUCACGAAAAUUUUUGGUGCCCAUGCACCUUUUGUUAGAAGAAAAAAAAAAUAUAUACCUUUUGUAUGUACAUGCUUGAAAUUCAAAAUCUACAUUUAAUUGCUGGAAUUUUUAACAUUUCAUCAAUAGAUGUAUGUAUAUGGAACCCAAAUUAUUUCUGUGGCUGAAAUUCUUUUGUUACAAUGAACGAGAAGUGGACCUUUUGUUUAUCAUAAUCCUAACUUAUUUUUGGACUCGCCCUCAUCAAUUGAACUAAUGUCAAAAGUUUAAGAAGAUGAAAUUUAUAAAUUUGGAAGAAUAAUAUGAUAGAUUAUUAAAUAAGUGUUAUGUAUUAUGUUAAGAUAAGACAAAUAAGUGCAGUAAUUAACGUGGGUAGUGGGUGAUGUUCUAUAGGAUAGUUUGUUCCUACUACUUGUAGUUAAAGCUUAUUGAUAGUGGAUGAAUCUUUUUCUCUUGUGUAGACCAACUAUCAUCCAUGUUUUAUCUAUCUAUAUAUAAGAUACACUUCUAUAAAGGUGUAUAAUUUAUGGAAUAAAUAUGAAGAGAAUUAUUAACUAAAUAACUUGGUUAUUUAGAGGUUAAAAUUCCUUUAUAAACCCCGUUUAAAAGAGGUGAAGGUUCCUCCAUAAUGCCCAAUUCCAUACUUUCAUUGUUUCUCCUAGUCUUUUACUUCAAUCCAUAUCAAUAAUUCACUCCUUGAAACAUCACUGUGAUGAAAAGUGCUAAUUACGAUGAAUAGUGAAAGCUAAGAAAAGAGUGUAAUGUUCUAAGCAAUUGGGAACCGUCCAUAGUAAGUACACAUGCCAAACCUUUAUUUUAUUUUUUUGAUAAAACACACACCAAACCUUGGCUAUACCUUUUUCCCAAAUUGCAAGCCGCUUACAUGAGAAAUACAGUCCUUUGUAGCCAACAUUAUAGCCCUUACCACUCAGCCUUAUAAGCACGCUUUAGCUGUUUGUACCAAUCCCACAUCGGCUUCACCAAAGAAGCAUGGAAGCGAAUGGACCUAUAAGAAUGGAAAUAAGACAAGAGAUUAAGCAUACCUUUCUCGGCCUUUUGGCUAAGAUCAAGUGUAGUAUCUGUUCUUAUCAGUUUAAUAUCUGAUACGUGGGCCAAUGGCUCACAUGAUAUUAAAUUAAUUUCUUUAGGAGGAGGGUCCACCAUAAUAGCUUGCUAUUGGGGCUCUCAAGUGUCGCCCAAGCGUUGCAAUAUUGCAUGAGCCUGGCGCACUCCACCAAGUCUAGUUUAAAUGUGUCAUUUAUAAGUCUUUUUGAGGACUUAUAGAGGGAGUCAAGUCUAUUUUUGGGUUUGAGUUUUUUAUAGAUUAAAGAAGAGACUGAUUCUUACGAGUUCAAUCAAACCUUCAAUGACGUCUAUUUGUAUUAUUUGUGAUCUGAAGAAAAUUCUGAAAAAGAAAUAAACUCUCUAUUUGUAAUUUUAAGAACAUUCGAAAAAAGAAAUAAUCUGUCUCGAACAUAACAAAUCACAAAUUGCAUUUCUAUACUUAUAACACUGCAUGUACUUGAAUAAUGCCACAAACCUUAUUGAGUAAGAUUGUUCUUCUGAAUUUGCAGACCAAGACUUCAAACUGCAUGGCUCUGGGUCAGUAUGUGAACCCAAAUUAUUUUUUAUGGCUGAAAAGUCAUUUUAUAAAGCAAUUAGAAAUAUCGGUUUAAAUUCUUUUGUUACAAUGAAAUAGAAGUGAAUUCUUUCUUAUCAUAAUUCUAAUUAAUUUUUUGACUCAUCCUCCUCACUUGAAUUAAUGUUAAUGGCUUGAGGAUUAAAUUUGUGAAUUUGAAAGUUGAGUGUUUCUCUGGCACUUUUUUCAGCAUUUUUUAGCCAGUGAUUAUGUCUAGUCUAAAGUACCACAUCGAAAAUGCAUAAAAAGUUAAGAACGAGACUAAUGUAUUAAAAAGGAAUAAAAGGCACUUCCAAACAUACUUACCUGGACGGGAUCUAUGAGCGAUCAAGAAGGUUCAUGGCCUAGGUUGGUGACCUCCAUUGCACUUAGGAGGGGUGCCCGCAUAUGGUCUCCUCAACGUAGGAGAGCCAACGUCAUAAUUUGUUGUAGUGGGGGCCUGCGUUCGCGCGGUCCCUUCCUCAAUUCAAUAUCAACUUUAUGCAACUAGCUAGCAAAAUAGGCUCAUUCCUCGUCUUCCUCAAGUUGAUUUUACCUUUUUGUCUGGUAUAAUUGUUUAAUAUAUCCAGCUGUGACAUGCAAAAAUAAUUGUUAAUUUAUCUCUUCAAUUAUGCAGUGACAUGCAAAAAUAAUUUUUGACUGGACCUUUUCUGUCAAACCAUCCAUAAAUUGCUUCGUCAGUAUCAAUCCUUGCAUAUUAUAAAUUGAUAAAUAAGUGUUACAUAUUAUGUUUUUAUUUUAUUCAUAUUUCAUAGACUUGCAUGGGCCUGGCGCACCCCAUUAAACCUAGUUCAAACUUGCAAUUCUUUAGUUGUAGAGAAGAGCUACAGGCCCAUGGUCUAUUCGAUGAUUUUCAUCGCAAAUGGAAAAAGAACUAGCGCCCUCAAGCAAAAUGGCCCAGCAAGCUGUUAACAGAUUGAGGUGUAAUUCUUAAAUCGUUCGUUUAUAAAAGGUUUAAUUACUAUUAAAGUAGACCGAACGUCUAUUUUAAGGGUAAAAUAAGCGAACUCUUUAUCUAUCGUAGACCUAACUUAUUUCCAAACUUAUCCUCAUCACUUGAACUAUGAUCAAGGGCUUAAGAUGAUUAAAUUUGUGAAUUUGAAAAAGUUAUAUGAUAGAUUGAUAAUUAAGCGUUACGUAUUAUGUUUUAUGUUUUAAUUUAAUUUUAUUAAUAUUUCAUAAGUUAGUUUAAUAAUUACUCUGUAUGAUGAGAGAUUCCCUUAAUCCCUCAUCCAACGUGAGUACUGGGUGCUGUUCUGUGGGAUAGUUUGUUCCUUUGUAGUUAGAUGUUGUUAUAGCGGAUGAAGCUUGAUAAUUAUUAACUAACUUUUGGUUAGAGGUCGGGUUCCUCCACAAACCCCACCUAAAAGACGUCAAGGGUUCCUACAUAAACCCCACUUAAAAGAGGUCAAGGAUUUCUCCAUAAUCCCCAAUUCCAUAUUUUCAUUGUUUCUCCUAGUUUAAGCCACUCCCUUAAGCAUCAUUGCGAUUGCAUAAUGAAAAGUGCUAAUUAGGAGCUGUUUGAUAACCAUUUCAAUUUUAGGUUUUAGUUUUUAGUUUUUCUUUGUUGUGCUAGAGUAUAGAGGAAAAUGAGAGUGAGUAUGAGAUUGAAAGAGAGGAUCAGAGGGGAGGAUGGAAGAGAUGAGUAACAAAAGUGAAAACAAUUUGAAAUAGAUUUCAGUUUUUAGUUUUUGUUUUCACUUUUGUUACUCCUCCCUCUCAUCAUCCCCUCUCAUCUUUCUUCUUAAUCUCAUCUCCACUCUCAUUCACUCUUCCAUUCUCCCACUUUUUCCUCUAUACUCUAGCAAAAAAAAUGAAAAAUGAAAAAGAAAAACUAAAAUUGAAAUGGUUAUCAAACGGGCCCUAAAUUUAUUCAACAUUAAUAUUUUGGUGCUAAUGGGGUUUGUUUAAAAUUGGAUGUUUUAUGAAGAUUUUGUAUGAAUAGUGAAAACUAGAAAAGAGUGAAGUUCUAAGCAAUUUGGAAUCGCACAUAGUACACAUACCAAACCUUGGCCAUAUACCCUUUUCCCAAAUUGCAAGCAGCCUUUUGCUUCUCUUAUAUGAGAAAUACAAUCCUUUUUUAGAACGUGUAUGUAAUUGAAUAUCUUUGUUUUGUUGCCAAUAUUUUAGCUUUGUCAACGCAUGUAUGCAUGUAUAACCCAAAUCAAUUAUGCUCUCAGCCUUCGUAGCCCCCUUUUGCUGUUUGUAAAUGUUGAACAGUCCCACAUCGACUGGACCAAUAACCAUGGAAGUGAAUGGCCCGAUAAAAAGAGAAACAAGAGAUGUGAGAAGGCAUACCUUUCUCGGCCUUUUGGCUAAGAUCAAGUGUAGUAUCUGUUCUUAUCAGUUUAAUAUCUGAUAUGUGGGUCAAUGAUCCACACGGUAUUAAAUUAAUUUCUUUACGGGGGAGAGUCCAUUACAAUAGCUUGCUAUUGGGGCUCUCAAGUGUCCCAAGCGUUGCACUAUUGCAUGGGCCUGGUGCACCCCACUAAAUUUAGUCUAAAUUUUUUAGGGAUAUUGACUGGAAUGGUUGUCUAAUUAUUGCUUGAGUUUUAUUUUGAUUGGUCAAUUAAAAUUUUUAUUUUAAUAGUCCUUCAAUUCCUUGUUUAGUAUUAAAAUUGUCAUAAUAUCAAAGUAUGUCAAAUAUUUUGUGAAAUUGAGGCGCAAAAUCGUCGAAGUCUGUCCAUCCCUACAAAGCCAUCUCUAGCCCUUGCCCUUCGUUCCCUCUAUCCCCUCUACCCUAAAUCUGUGAAGAGGUUGGUGGAUAUGGUAGGAUGAAGGGGAAGAGACGAAGGAUUGGCUGGAGUAGGAGAAUAGGGAUUUAAAUGAUAGAGCGAAAUGGGGUUGUUCGAACAAGAAGACUACUCUCAUCGUUUGCUCCACUAACAUUGUUGUUGCUUAUAUGUUCGUUCUCACUACGCUUCUCUGUACAUCUACUCCAUUAACAUUGUUGCUGGAUUGAAUUGGUAAAGCGAUUUGCUGUAACUUUUAUAAUUUAACGGAGAACCCUUUGUUAUGCUCAAAAGGUAAAGGCACUAGGAGCUUUCCAGAGAUGCAAUGGUGGAAUUGCCACAACCUUUGAAACUGAAGUUACCAAUGAGAUAGUUGAGAGGUUGAAAACCUUGAGGCCCAAAGCAAAUUUUACUAAGCGGAGAGGAAGGUGGAAGACAGUAAACAAGUGUUUGUGGCAGAGCCGGCCUUGGGUAAUCUGAGGCCCAGGGCAAAAAUCUAAAGUGUGCCCAAAAUAAUGUAAACAUUAAAAUUAUAAUUUUUUAUCAAGUAAUUAAUUUUAUUAAAAUUAUAGCAUUCAUUGUUUUUACAACAUAAGCCUUCCCGUUUGUUAUUUUUUGAUGAUAAUAAUUUGAGGAAAAAUGUCAUCGUGUUCAUCCAUAGGGAAUUUGCAGUUAAUUUCUCCCACAUGAAACUUUUCUAAAAGUAAAUCUGCCAUUUUUGCAUCAUAAACUUUCAAUUCAUUUUCAUUUUCUGCUUAUUCUUCCAAAUGAAUAUGAACAAUUCAUUUGGUAAAUCUUCAGAUAAAUUUUCAUGUUUAAACCAAGUAAUCCAUUACAAAACUCACGUUCUCCUUGCAAAACUGAUUAAGACCCAAGAAAAAUCAUCUUUGUUGUUUAUCUAGGUCUGCACCUGAAACCCAUCUCAAUUCUCAAUGAAUAAGUUCUCAAUUGGCGAUCUUGAAUCUGCAAGAAUGCCUAUAUAAAGUGAUUAUUUGGAAAAUAGCAGCAACAUAGGAAAUAAAUAGACAAAGAGAAAGGACUUACAGCUCUGUUGGCUUCGUCUCUUCUGUCAUGGAGGGGAAAUGAUAAGAAAGACGAAAGAGAGAGGCAAUGGAGAGGAGAGAGGCCGCGGUGUGACUGUGAGUGAGGGAUGAUAGGUACAUAUAUAAGAAAAUUGAGACAACAAGAAUCUAAACCCUAGUGUGGUCUGGUUUUGUUUUGUUUUUUUUUUGGAAUAGGAUUAAAAAACAAUAUAUUUGCUAGCAUAUAUGGGUGAGCACGCGCUUUUGGGAAGGGAGGAUUAAACAAAAAUGCACGCUUGGUUUUUUAUUUAUUUAUUUUAUUUGUUUUGUUCUAUACGUAUAUAAUAUAUGGCUUAACUUUAUUUUUUUGGUGCCCCUUUCAAUUAUGGGCCCCGGGCCCAGGCCCCAGUUGCCCUCCCCAAGGGCCGGCUCUGGUUUGUGGAUACAAUUGAAAGAGAGAAGAAGCCUUUGGCUCUGGUAGCUCGGUCUAGCAAAACUAGGGUUCUAAUUUCGGGGAGCUUCUAACAUAUGGACGGUUUUACCCCUCAAUUUAACGGUAAAAUUGACAGACUUUGACGGUAGGACCAUUUUGAUACUAAGAGGGGUGUAUUCAAUUAGGAUUUUAAAAGACUAUUUUGGGAUAAAUAAGUCUUGUGGUAUUCAAUUAAGACUUUUAAAUAAUCUAAAUAAGUCUUGUAGUAUUCAAUCAGGACUAUUAUGAUAUUUUAAAGAAGGUGUCCAAAUCUAGUGGUAUUUAAUUAAGACUUUAAACAAGUAACAAAAAGUCUUUUGGUAUUCAAAAACUUGCUAAUUUCGAUGAAUUUUUUUUUAAUUAGGAAUUUGUGUGACUUUUUAAUAUGAGGUAUAAAUACCAAACCUUAUCCCAAAUCUCACCCUAACCCAUCAGACUUUUCAUGCGAGAUUUUUUAUUAUUUUUUUUCUGCUAGAGAAGAUGAACAGCUCCUCGUGAAAAUGAACAGUUCUUCGUGACACAAGGUAUUGCUUCCUUCUCAUGUUGUGUCUUCUUGCGUUUAUUAUCUGUAUAUUUCCUAUAUGCCAUGUUUUUGUAUAUCGACUGUGUCUUUAGCCCUUCGUGGGUUUGUUGCUAUUGCUGGUGGUAUUGCUUCGUGGGUUUAUAUAUGGUAGCUCUAUAGCCCUUCACAACUAUUGAUGUUUCGUGGGUAUAUAUAUGAUAGCUUUAUGGCCAUUCACAUGCUCUGUUUCUUGGUUAUCAAUUGCUGCUUCGUGUCAGGCUGUUCAUAGAUAAACCAUAUUGCUAUCAUGUAUUAUAUAUAACAAAUGGGAGAAUCAAACAAUUGAUGUUUAUGGUCUGAAUUUUAUAUAAAUAUAUAUAUAUAUAUAUGGUCUACGUUUAUUGUCUGUUUAUGGCUAUCAUGUACUAUAUGAUCCUAUAUAUAUAAAUUUUUUUUUUCAUUAGUGUUCUUUAUUUAUAAGGUCUGCGUCUUAUAACCACUAGCUAACUUUUUUCUGUCAUAUUUCAUUCAAAGCAUUGCCAUUUAUUCAUUCAAAGCAUAGCCAUUUUUUGGGUACUUGUUCCUCACCAGAUGAUUGAAAAGUACAUGCUUUGAGGUGCUAGUUUACAUUACUAGGGUGACAGUGUGUUUUCGUAUGCCCUGGCUGUGUGUUCUAAGUAUUAUCAUAAAAGGUAUUAUAAUGUUUUGCAGCCUCAUAAAUUGGUACUAUUUUCUUCUUUUUAUUGUUUUGCAGUCUCGUAUAAUGUCACAACCGAGCAUGUAUGAAAAUAAUGACAUAGAGGAAGAAGAAAUUGAUGAAGAAUUCGUGCAUCAUUGAACUAGACAUUGCUCAUCAUCCAACUAAGUUGGUUGGUUAGCAUCGUACAAAUAAAAAAUCCAUAUAAAUUCUUAUAAAUUCUUAUGAUAUAAAUCUUUAAAAUCCAAACAUAAAAAAUCCUGAGUAUAAAAAAUCUUUAAAAAAAAUCUUAUAAGUCAUUACAUUCUUAAAUAGUCUUUUAAAAUCCACUAGACUUAUUUAUCCAUAAAUAGUCUUUUAAAAUCUCAAUUGAAUACACCCCCCUAAAUGGAGAGUUGGAGGACUAUGGAAAUAAAAAUUUUAGUUGGUGGACCAACAUGAAACUCGAGCAAUAGUUGGGGGACCAUUUCGCUCAAUAACCCUUUCUUUUAUUUGUCACUAAAAGAACAUUCUGAAAAAGAAAUAAACUAUAUUGAACAUAACAAAUAACAAAUUAUAUUUUUUUAUUUUAACACUUCCAGUACUUAAUAAUACCAUAGUAUUGGGGAUGGGGAAAAAAUGCUUGAUGGGGAUGGGGAUGGGAAUGACAUACCCACCCCCGAUUCGACCCAUUGUCAUCCCUAGUAUUGAGGAUCAUUGUUCUUCUAUGAAUUUGCAGACCAAGCCUUCAAAGUGCGUGUCUUUGGGUCAAUAUGUGAACCCAAAUUUCAUUUUAUAAAGCAAUUACAAAUGUCGGCUUAAAUUCUUUUAUUACAAUGAAAGAGAAGUGAACUCUUUACUUAUCAUAAUUCUUACUAAUUUUUUGACUCAGCCUCAUCACUUGAACUAAUGUUAAUGGCUUGAGGAUUAAAUUUGUGAAUUUGGAAGAACAUGUAUGUAAUUGAAUAUCUCCGUUUUGUCGCCAACAUUAUAGUCCUUACCACUCAGCCUUAUAAGCAUGCUUUAGCUGUUUGUACCAAUCCCACAUCGGCUUGACCACAGAAGCAUGGAAGUGAAUGGACCUAUAACAAUAGAAACAAGACAUGAAGAUAAGCAUACCUUUCUCGGCCUUUUGGCUAAGAUCAAGUGUAGUAUCUGUUCUUAUCAGUUUAAUAUCUGAUACGUGGGCGAAUGGCUCGCAUGAUAUUAAAUUAAUUUAUUUAGGAGGAGGUUCCACCAUAAUAGCUUGCUAUUGGGGCUCUCAAGUGUCGCCCAAGCAUUGCAACAUUGCAUGGGCUUGGCACACUCCACCAAAUCUAGUUUAAAUGUGUCCAUUUGUAUUAUUCUUUAUUUUGGUGUUAGGGGAAGGGGAGCUACCCUAUUCUAACUAGGAUAUAUCAAGGCUUUUUUGAGGACUUACAGAAUGAGUCUUAGUCUUUAUGUUAGUUUUUACUAAUAAACAAAGAGACCGAUCCUUACGAGCUCAACCAACCCUCGUUGGCGUCUAUUUAUAUUAUUUGUAACUUGAAGAAAGUUCUGAAAAAGAAAUAAACUGUCUAUUUGUAAUUUGAAGAACAUUUUGAAAAAGACAUAAACUGUCUUGAACAUAACAAAUCACAAAUUGUAUUUCUAUAUUAUAACACUACAUGUACUUGAAUAAUGCCACAAACCUUAUUGAGUAACAUAGUUCUUCUGAAUUUGCAUACCAAGCCUUCAAACUGCAUGUCUUUGGGUCAAUAUGUGAACCCAAAUUAUUUUUUAUGGCUGAAAGUCAUUUUAUAAAGCAAUUACAAAUAUCAGCUUAAAUUCUUUUGUUACAAUGAAAGAGAAGCGAACUCUUUACUUAUCAUAAUUCUUUUUUUCUUUUUCUUUUUAAUCAAAUAGAAACUUCAUUAGAUAAACUUCAACGGUACAAUCAAAGACAUCAACAAGACAUCUAAAAUACCAAUCCCGAGAGGGCAACAGACUAACAUGCUAAAAACACAACUAACACGGAUAAAAGCCGUACUAAAACUACUAACCCACAUCACCCCAAUUAACCAUAAGCCUAAACAAAGCCCACAAACCCAACAUAACCAAAACCCUAAAACAACCCAUGAGCCUAUACGAACCCUACCACCACCACCUGAUGAAGCGUUGUUGCGGCCACACCCACCAUUGCAUUCGUAACAGAUCUGGGGAAAAUAUGAUUUCCAACGAUCUACUUGCACAUAAGAGCGAACAAAUAAAAUAAAACAACAACUUUGCCAAAGAACAAUUGGGUGAUUUGCAGCAACCUCCGUCAAAGAAGAUAUAGAAUUAAAUUUAGAGAACAUGAGCUACGUCAGGGAGCGAAUUUUGGGAGCAUGAUUUGAUUGAGAACAUAGACUAAAAGGGGUGAUCAGGAACUUCAAUCUAACCAUGGCUCAAAAGAAACCACCACAAUGGACUAUUUUUUAUAACACCCCAAUGGACUUAUUCACUAACCUAAAAGGAAAGACGAGAAGAGAAGAGGGGGAGGAGGGGCAGUGACGCUUCUUCCUCCCCCCUCUAUGAAGUUUUCCUUUAAGACUCAUAGAGGGAAAGAGUGACUAGAGUUUCUUGGGAGCCUAAACUAUUCUUGAGAUUUUACUUAUCAUAAUUCUAAUUAAUUUUUUGACUUGCCCUCAUCACUUGAACUAAUGUUAAUGGCUUGAGGAUUAAAUUUGUGAAUUUGGCAGUUGAGUGUUUCUCUAGAUUAAUUAAGCUUGUCAAAUCGCAUGCCUCUCUGGCACUUUUUUCAUCAUUUUUUAGUCAAUGAUUAUGUCUAGUUUAAAGUACCACAUCGGAAAUGCACAAGAAGUUGAGAACGAGACUAAUGUAUUAAAAAGGAACGAGAGGCACUUCAAAACAUACUUACCUGGACGGGGUCUAUGAGCGAUCAAGAAGGCUCAUGGCCUAGGUUGGUGACCUCCAUUGCACUUAGGAGGGGUUCCCGCCUAUGGUCUCCUCAACGUAGGAGAGCCAACGUCAUAAUUUAUUGCAGUGGGGGCCUGCGUUCGCGCAGCCCCUGCCUUAAUUCAAUAUCAACUUUAUGCAACUAGCUAGCAAAAUUGGCUCAUUCCUCGUCUUUCUCAAGUUGAUUUACCUUUUUGUCUGGUAUAAUUGUUUAAUAUAUCCAGUUGUGACAUGCAAAAAUAGUUAUUAAUUUAUCCCUUCAAUUCUGCAGUGACAUGCAAAAAUAAUUUUUAGUAAAAUUCAACUGGACCUUUUCUGUCAAACCAUCCAUAAAUUUCUUCAUCAAUAUCAAUCCUUGCAUAUAUAAAUUUAUAGAUAAGUGUUACAUAUUAUGUUUUUAUUUUAUUAAUAUUUCAUAGAUUUGCAUGGGCCUGGCGUAUUACUGCAAGGGCCUACUGCACCCCAUUAAACCUAGUUCAAACUUGCAAUUCUUUCGUUGUAGAGAAGAGCUACAGGGCCAUGGUCUAGUUCAUGAUUUCCAUCACCAUUAUACAACGGAAAAAGAACUAGCACCCUCGAGCAAAAUGGCCCAAGAAGCUGUUAAUGGGUCGAGGUGUAAUUCUUAAACCGUUCGUUUAUAAAAAAAAGUAAACUUUUUAUUUAUUAUAUGUCUAACUUAUUUUCAGACUUACCCUCAUCACUUGAACUAAUAUAAAGAACUUAAAAUGAUUAAAUUUGUGAAUUUGAAAAAGUUAUAUGAUAGAUUGAUAAUUAAGUACGUAUUAUAUUUUAUGUUUUUAUUUUAUUUUAUUAAUAUUUCAUAAGUUAGUUUAAUAAUUAGUAUGUAUGAUGAGAUUCCCUUAAUCCCUCAUCCAACGUGAGUAGUGAGCGCUGUUCUGUGGGAUAGUUUGUUCCUUUGUAGUUAGAUGUUAUAGUGGAUGAAACUUGAUAAUUAUUAACUAACUUUUAGUUAGAGGUCAGUUUCCUCCACAAACCCCACCUAAAAGACGUCAAGGGUUCCUACAUAAAACCCACUCAAAAGAGGUCAAGGGUUUCUCCAUAAUCCCCAAUUCCAUACUCUCAUUGUUUCUCCUAGUUUAAUCCACUCAUUUAAGCAUCAUUGCGAUUGCAUGAUGAAAAGUGCUAAUUAGGGGCCUGUUUGAUAAUCAUUUCAAUUUUAGUUUUUAGUUUUUCUUUUUUGUGCUAGAGUAUAGAGGAAAAUGAGAGUGAGUAUGAGAUUGAAAGAGAUGAUGAGAGGGGAGGAUGGAAGAGAGGAGUAACAAAUGUGAAAACAAUUUGAAAUUGACUUUAGUUUUUAGUUUUUGUUUUCAGUUUUAUUACUCCUCCCUCCCAUCCUCUCCUUUUAUCUUUCUUCUUAAUCUCAUCUCCAUUCACAUUCUCACUUCUAUUCUCCCUCUUUAUCCUCUAUACUCUAGCACAAAAAAUGAAAACUAAAAACUAAAAUUGAAACGGACCUUAAAUUUGUUAAACAUUAAUAUUUUAGUGCUAAUGGGGUUUGUUCAAAAUUGAAUAUUCUAUGAAGAUUUUGUAUGAUUAAUAGUGAAAACUAAGAAAAGAGUGAAGUUCUAAGCAAUUUGGAAUCGCACAUAGUACACAUACCAAACUUUGGCCAUACCUUUUUACCAAAUUGCAAGCAGCCUUUUGCUUCUCUUAUAUGAGAAAUACAAUCCUUUUUUAGAACGUGUAUGUAAUUGAAUAUCUUCGUUUUGUCACCAAUAUUUUAGCCUUGUCAACACAUGUAUGCAUGCAUAACCCAAAUCAAUUAUGCUCUCAGCCUUCGUAGCCCCCUUUUGCUUUUUGUAAAUGUUGAACAGUCCCACAUCGACUGGACCAAUAACCAUGGAAGUGAAUGGCCCGAUAAAAAGAGAAACAAGAGAAGAGAAAAGGCAUACCUUUCUCGGCCUUUUGGCUAAGAUCAAGUGUAGUAUCUGUUCUGAUCAGUUUAAUAUCUGAUAUGUGGGUCAAUGACCCACACGAUAUUAAAUUAAUUUCUCUAGGGGAGGGUCCGCUACAGUAGCUUGCUAUUGGGGCUCUCAAGUGUCGCCCAAGCGUUGCACUAUUGCAUGGGCUUGGUGCACCCCACUAAAUUUAGUCUAUUUUUUUUUUAAUUUUACGAUUAUUGAUUGACAUGGUUUUUCAAUUAUUGCUCGAGUUUCAUUUUGGUCGACCAAUUAAAAUUUUCAUUUCAAUAGUCCUUCAAUUCUCCAUUUAGCAUCAAAAUUGUCAUAUUGUCAAAGUCUGUCAAAUAUUUUGUGAAAUUGAAGGGCAAAAUUGUCAAAUCAAAAUCGCUGCAAAUUAGGCACCACAAGAAAAACCCAGAAGCCAAAAAAAACACUCAUUUCACUGCGUACUAAUAGCCUGAUCAAAAGAAGAUAUGGGUUGUGUCGUCAACAGAAGCCACGUUUCUGGUAAUGUUCGAUCUGUGAAGAGGUUGGUGGAUAUGGUGGGAUGAAGGAGAAGAGAUGAAGGAAUGGCUUGGGUAGGAGAAUGGGGAUUUAAUGAUAGAGCGAAAUGGGGUUGUUCGAACAAGAAGUCUACUCUCAUCGUUUGCUCCACUAACAUUGUUGUUUAUAUGUUCGUUCUCUCUAUGCUUCUCUGUACAUCCACUUCAUUAACAUUGUUGUUGGAUUGAAUUGGUAGAGCGAUUUGCUGUAACUUUUAUAAUUUAACGGAGAACCUUUGUUAUGCUCAAAAGGUAAAGGCACUAGGAGCUUUCUAGAGAUGCAGUGGUAGAAUUGCCACAACCUUUGAAAUUGAAGUUACCAAUGAGAUAGUUGAGAUGUUGAAAACCUUGAGGCCCAAAGCAAAUUUUACUGAGCAGAGAGGAAGGUGGAAGACCGUGAACAAGUGUUUGAGGAUACAAUUGAAAGAGAGAAGAAGCCUUUGGCUCUGGUAGCUGGGUCCAGCAAAACUAGGGUUCUAAUUUCGGGGAGUGUCUAACAUAUGGACGGUUUUACCCCUCAAUUUAAUGGUAAAAUUGACAGACUUUGGGGUAGGACCGUUUUGAUACUAAAUGGAGAGUUGGAGGACUGUUGAAAUGAAAAUUUUAGUUGGUGGACCAACAUGAAACUCGAGCAAUAGUUGGGGGACCAUUUCGGUCCAUAACCAUUUCUUUUAUUUGUUACUACAAGAACAUUCUGAAAAAGAAAUAAACUGUAUCGAACAUAAAAAUAACAAAUUGUAUUUCUCUAUUUUAACACUUCAUGUACUUAAUAAUGCCAUAGUAUUGGGGAUGGGGAUGGGAAUGACAUACCUACCCCCAAUUCGACCCAUUGUCAUUCCUAAUAUUGGGGAUCAUUGUUCUUCCAUUGCAGACCAAGCCUUCAAAGUGUGUGUCUUUGGGUCAGUAUGUGAACAUAAAUGUCAUUUUAUAAAGCAAUUACAAAUGUCGGCUUAAAUUCUUUUGUUACAAUGAAAGAGAAACGAACUCUUUACUUAUCAUAAUUCUUAUUAAUUUUUUGACUAACCCUCAUUACUUGAACUAAUGUUAAUGGCUUGAGGAUUAAAUUUGUGAAUUUGGAAGUUAAGUGUUUAUGUAGAUUAAUUAAGCUUGUCAAAUUGUAUGUGCCUUUGGCACUUUUUCCAAGUGAUUAUGUUUAGCUUAAAGUACCACAUCGGAAAUGCACAAGAAGUAGAGAGCGGGACUGAUGUAUUUAAAAGGAACAAGAGGUACUUCAAAACAUACUUACCUGGACGGAGUCUAUGGGUGAUCAAGAAGGCUCAUGGCUUAGGUUGGUGACCUCCAUUGCACUUAGGAGGGGUGCCCGCCUAUGGUCUCCUCAACGUAGGAGAGCCAACGUCAUAAUUUGUUGCAGUGGGGGCCUGCGUUCGCGCGGCCCCUUCCUCAAUUCAAUAUCAACCUUAUGCUGCUGGCUAUCAAAAUAGGCUCAUCCCUCGUUUUCCUCAAGUUGAUUUUUUCUUUUUGUCUGGUAUAAUUGUUUGAUAUAUCCAGCUUUGACGGAGUUUAUUCUUAGCCCAAAACAAUAUAUCACAAUUUAAUCUAAAUCAACAUGUUCUUCUGCUAAAAAAAAUCAGCAUGUUUGUAGCCAUUACAUUUUUUUUUUCUUUUUUUCUUUUUUUUUUUUUUUUGCGAAAGAAGAACUUAUUGAUAACAAUUAAGAGGAUACAACCAUGUCAUCGUUUACAAUUGAUUCCAGCCAGAAGGGAACUUCUUCAAUCCAAGUUACCAUAGUAUUACAAUUAAGAGCAUGCUUUGCUAGAAAAUGCGCUACUUGGUUAGCCCCUCUUGGACUAUAAGAGAUAAUAACAUCUUCAAAGUGUUGUAGACUCCUCUUAAUAUCACCAAUAAGAUGCCCAUCUGAUGCCCAAGACUCUUCCUCGUCCUUUUUUACAUCAAUUACCACCCCUUGUGAAUCAGAUUCAAUUAAAAUGAAAGAAAAGCCAGCAUCCCGAGCAAUAAUUAUUAGUCUAGAUUCCCUCCCUCAUAAUCCAAUAUAAGUAGUGGGUGGUGUUCUAUGGCAUAGUUUGUUCCUAUUUUGUAGUUACAUGUUGUUGAUAGUAGAUGAAGCUUUUGCUGUAGGCCAUCUAUCUUCCAUGUUUUAAUUAUCUAUAUGUAAGUUACAACUAUAUGAAGGUGUAUAAUUUAUGGAAUAUUAUCUAUAUAUAUAAAGCAAAAGGCAGAGAAUGGUGAAACAUUCAAAAUACCAGAAAAUAUCCUUGGUUAAUGCAAACAUUAAGAACUAAACUUAUUAAUUAAAUGAGGAUAAUAUGGUAAAUUCACACUUUUUAUAAAAAAUUAAAAUUAAAUAAAAAAUAAUGGAUCCUAUUUUUAUGGAACACUUUUUAAUUCUAAAAAAAAUUUAAAUUUUUUUUAAAAAAAUGCCUCUCGCAAGCGCGAAAGCGCGUGCAGAAAGGCUAGUAAAUAUGAAGGGAAUUAUUAACUAAAUAGUUUGUUCCUCCAUAAACCCCACUACUGCAUGAGGGCGCACCCUACUAAACUCUUUAAACUUGCAAUCCUUUAGUUAUAGAGAAGAGCCACAGGCCCAUGAUCUAUUUGAUGAUUUCCAUCGCAAUUAUACAAUGAAAAAAGAAUUAGCGCCUUAGACUAAAAUGGCCUAGCAAGCUGUUAACGGUUCGAUAUGUAAUUCUUCAACCGGUCUGUUUGAUAACCAUUUUAAUUUUAGUUUUUAGUUUUUAGUUUUUCUUUUGUGUGCUAAAGUAUAGAGAAAAAUGAGAGUGAGUAUGAGAUUGAAAGAGAUGAUGAAAGGGGAGGAUGGAAGAGAGGAGUAACAAAAGUGAAAACAAUUUGAAAUAAAUUUCAGUUUUUAAUUUUUAGUUUUUGUUUUCACUUUUGUUACUCCUCCCUCCUAUCCUCCUAUCCUCCCAUCCUUCACUCUCAUCUUUCUUCUUGAUCUCAUCUCCACUCUCAUUCUCACUUCUAUUCUCCCUCUUUAUCCUCUAUACUCUAGCACAAAAAAUAAAAACUAAAAACUAAAAUUGAAAUAGUUAUCAAACGGACCCUAGAUUUGUUAAACAUUAAUAUUUUGGUGCUAAUGGGGUUUGUUCAAAAUUGGAUAUUCUAUGAAGAUUUUGUAUGAUGAAUAGUGAAAACUAAGAAAAGAGUAAAGUUCUAACCAAUUUGGAAUCGCACAUAGUACACAUACCAAACCUUGGACAUACCUUUUUCCCAAAUUGCAAGCAGCCUUUUGCUUAUCUUAUAUGAGAAAUACAAUCUUUUUUCAGAACGUGUAUGUAAUUGAAUAUCUUUGUUUUGUCGCCAAUAUUUUAGCCUUUUCAACACAUGUAUGCAUGCAUAACCCAAAUCAAUUAUGCUCUCAGCCUUCGUAGCCCCCUUUUGCUUUUUGUAACUGUUGAACAGUCCCACAUCGACUGGACCAAUAACCAUGGAAGUGAAUGGCCCGAUAAAAAGAGAAACAAGAGAUGUGAAAAGUCAUACCUUUCUCGGCCUUUUGGCUAAGAUCAAGUGUAGUAUCUGUUCUUAUCAGUUUAAUAUCUGAUAUGUGGGUCAAUGACCCACACGAUAUUAAAUUAAUUUCUUUAGGGGGAGGGUUCGCUACGGUAGCUUGCUAUUGGGGCUCUCAAGUGUCGCUCAAGCGUUGCACUAUUGCAGGGGCCUGGCGCACCCCACUAAAUUUAGUCUAAUUUUUUUUUUUUAACGAUUAUUGACUGAAAUGGUUUUUCAAUUAUUGGUUCAGUUUUAUUUUGGUCGACCAAUUAAAAUUUUCAUUUCAAUAGUCCUUCAAUUCUCCAUUUAGUUUCAAAAUUGUCAUAUUGUCAAAGUUUGUCAAAUAUUUUGUGAAAUUGAGGCGCAAAACUAUCAAAGUUUAUCCAUCCCUACGAAUAGCCUAAUCAAAAGAAGAUAUGGAUUGUGUCAACAGAAGCCACGUUUCUGAUAAUGAUCGAUCUGUGAAGAGGUUGGUGGAUAUGGUAGGAUGAAGGAGAAGAGACAAAGGAAUGGCUCAGUUAGGAGAAUGGGGAUUUAAUGAUAGAGCGAAAUGGGGUUGUUCGAACAAGAAGACUACUCUCAUCGUUUGCUUCACUAACAUUGUUAUUGCUUAUAUAUUCGUUCUCUCUACGCUUCUCUAUACAUCUACUCCAUUAACAUUGUUGUUGGAUUGAAUUGGUAGAGCGAUUUGCUGUAACUUUUAUAAUUUAAUGGAGAACCUUUGUUAAGGUAAAUGCACUAGGAACUUUCUAGAGAUGCAGUGUAGGAAAUAAUAGUGCUAAAUUGCUAUAAAAUAAACAAAUAAACACUACAAACAAAACAAAUUUUUACAACAGUAGUAUGUAAUUAAAAUAACCUUAAUUGAGUCUAGGCAAGUGUUGGACACUCUGACCUUAAGACGAAUUACGCCACACACUGGUGCUUAUGGUUCACUAGCGUUCGCCUCCCAGGAUACAACGACUCCCCUCCUUAUGAAAGAAGCACUGCAAUGCACAAGGAACUUUGAACCAAAAUUAUGCAGGAAACUCUCUUUAUGCAAACUCUUCGGUGGACUUCCCCCACAUUUAAGGUAUUUGUAGGGUCUUCAACCUUUUUAUACCUUAAAAUAAACAUUAUUCUUCUCUUUUAAAGAGCAAAGUACUUUUCCAUUCUUACACAAAUAUGAGAUUACAAAGAUAGUUAAGUCACCCCCACAAUUCUCUUACAAUUGUGGUUGCUAUUAAACUACCAAUGAAAUUUCAUACCUUAAACUUUGCAUAUUACGUCUAGUGCAAUUUUGCAAUAAACCCCCACAUUUUCGGAUUCUCAACAUUUGUGUAAUUUUGUUACACAUAUGAAUAUCCUUUAGGAAAUUUCGAAGCCACUUUACUCAUCAUUUCCUUUUAAUGGAAAUUUUCCCUUUCAUACAGACCAUUGUAGUUUGAAGCCUCAUAAUUAGAAACUUAAUUCUACAAAAUAGGGCUUUAUCCCCACAUUUCAGUUGUUGUCUUUGUAAGACGGAGAAAUACAUGUUUCUGGUCAUUUCAACACUACUUCUCUUCUUGGAAGUAUUCGUCAAUUGUGUUUGUCAAAUAUAGAUAAUACACUGACAUGUUUUCCCUCUUUAGGAAAAUUUGCAAAAACCAAAUAUUUGCAAUCUUUCUAUAUGCAAUCCAAUAUAUCAAUUGCGUAUCUUGAUGUCAACCCAAUGGUUCAUAUACAUACGUUGAUAUAAGUAACUAGAAACAAGCACUAUAUGCUUCUUAAUGUAUUUGAUCUGCAGAAUCCAUGCAUCAUUUAUGAAUGCAAAAUUUAUAUGAACAGUCAGAAGCCCAACAAAUGGAUUGAAAAGCCUAUAACCGUUAGAAACUGAAAAUCAAAUUUCUAGUUGGAUCACGUCCAGACACAAUGGCUUCAUUUUAUAUAGACAGGAAAUGGUCCAACAUGCAUACAUAAUUUUAGAUUGUAAAAAAAUUUUACAACCCACUUGAUUCAAGUUUAUUCUUCACAUGUUGACCAUGAAUUUACCAACUAGUUAAAUAGAUGCAACGGUAAAAUAUAGCAACUACACCAUAAUAAUUCGUCUUAAGAUUGUAAGAAAUAAUAGUGCUAAAUUGCUAUAAAAUAAACAAAUAAACACUACAAACAAAAUAAAUUUUUACAACAGUAGUAUGUAAUUAAAAUAACCUUAAUUGAGUCGAGGCAAGUGUUGGACACUCUGACCUUAAGACGAAUUACACCCCACACUGGUGCUUAUGGUUCACUAGCGUUCGCCUCCCAGGAUACAACGACUCCCCUCCUUAUGAAAGAAGCACUGCAAUUCACAAGGAACUUUGAACCAAAAUUAUGCAGGAAACUCUCUUUAUGCAAACUCUAAUGCCCUCUAUAUAUGAAAGUAUGUAUCUAGAGAAUUAAUUGAAUGAAUAAAACUGUAGGAGGAUUGCUCUAUUUAUAGAUGAUGAAAUACCCUUUCUAAAAAGGUAUCUCAAUCUGAAAAGGCAAACAAUGCAUUCCUUGGUCUGAAGAGUUGUCACCCAAACAAUGCAUUCCUUGGUUUGAAGAGUUGUCACCCUCCAUGUGAAGAUGUCUUUAACCCAAUGAAUUUUAUUAAUUUCCAUUCAAAUAGGAAAAUCAAUAUUAGUUAAUAUUAAAUUUUCCAACAUGCAGUGGUGGAAUUGCCACAACCUUUGAAACUGAAGUUACCAAUGAGAUGGUUGAGAGGUUGAAAACCUUGAUGCCCAAAGCAAAUUUUACUGAGCAGAGAGGAAGGUGGAAGACAGUGAACAAGUGUUUGUGGAUACAAUUGAAAGAGAGAAGAAGCUUUUGGCUCUGGUUGUUGGGUCCGGCAAAACUAGGGUUCUAAUUUUGAGGAGCUUCUAUCAUAUGGACCGUUUUACCCCUCAAUUUAACGAUAAAAUUGACAAACUUUGAUGGUAUGACCAUUUUGAUACUAAAUGGAGAGUUGGAAGACUAUUGAAAUGAAAAUUUUAGUUUGUGGACCAACAUGAAACUCAAGCAAUAAUUGGGGGACAAUUUCGGUCAAUAACCCUUUCUUUUAUUUGUCACUACAAGAACAUUCUGAAAAAGAAAUAAAUUGUAUCGAACAUAACAAAUAACAGAUUGUAUUUCUUUAUUUUAACACUUCCUGUACUUAAUAAUGCCAUAGUAUUGGGGAUGGGGAUGGGAAUGACAUACCCACCCCCGAUUCGACCCAUUGUCAUUCAUAAUAUUAAAGAUCAUUGUUCUUCCAUGAAUUUGCAGACCAAGCCUUCAAAGUGUGUGUCUUUGGGUCAGUAUGUGAACAUAAAUGUCAUUUUAUAAAGCAAUUACAAAUGUCGGCUUAAAUUCUUUUGUUACAAUGAAAGAGAAGCAAACUCUUUACUUAUCAUAAUUCUUACUAAUUUUUUGACUAACCCUCAUCACUUGAACUAAUGUUAAUGGCUUGAGGAUUAAAUUUGUGAAUUUAGAAGUCAAGUAUUUAUGUAGAUUCAUUAAGCUUGUCAAAUUGUAUGUGCCUUUGCCACUUUUUCUAAGUUAUUAUGUUUAACUUAAAGUAACACAUCGGAAAUACACAAGAAGUAGAGAGCGGAACUGAUGUAUUUAAAAGGAACAAGAGACACUUUAAAACAUACUUACCUGAGUCUAUGGGCGAUCAAGAAGGCUCAAGGCUUAAGUUGGUGACCUCCAUUGCACUUUGGAGGGGUGCCCGCCUAUGGUCUCCUCAACGUAGGAGAGCCAACGUCAUGAUUUGUUGCAGUGGGGGCCUGCGUUCACGCGGCCCAUUCCUCAAUUCAAUAUCAACCUUACUUCUUCAAGUUGAUUUUACUUUUGUCGGUUAGUUUAGUAUCCCAAGUCCAAUAAUUAUUAGUCUAGAUUCCCUCCCUCAUAAUCCAAUAUAAGUAGUGGGUGGCGUUCUAUGGGAUAGUUUGUUCCUAUUUUGUAGUUAUAUGUUGUUGAUAGUAGAUGAAGCUUUUGCUAUAGGCCAAUUAUCUUCCAUGUUUUAAUUAUCUAACUAUAUGAAGGUGUAUAAUUUAUGGAAUAUAUAAAUAUGAAGGGAAUUAUUAACUAAAUAGUUUGUUCCUCCAUAAACCCCACUACUGCAUAAGGGCGCACCCCACUAAACUUAGUUCAAACUUGCAAUCCUUUAGUUGUAGAGAAGAGCCACAGGCCCGUGAUCUAUUUUAUGAUUUCCAUCGCAAUUAUAUACAAUGGAAAAAGAAUUAGCGCCUUAGAGUAAAAUGGCCCAGCAAGCUGUUAACUGUUCGAUGUGUAAUUCUUCAACCGUUCAUUUAUAAAAGGUUUAAUUACUGUUAAAGUGAGACUGAGCGCCUAUUUUAGAGGUAAAAUAGUAAUUAAACCUUUAUAAAAAUAGAUGUAUUCAGAUGUAUACUCAUUAUUAAUACUAGUGAUAUAAAUAAACCCUACACCAUUUAAUUUCUAUAAAGAAACCCAAAAAAAGAUAACUGGCCCUAUUGAAUUUAAUUUUGAUUAUUAAAUUACUUUGACGCUCUGUUGAGUGUUUUGAGUUUUUUUUUUUUAAUGAGGUUUUGGGAUUGGGCUUGUUUUAAGAAAAUCGAUGGUAGUUUUGUAAGUUAUAGGAAAUUCGAAGCCUCUUUAUUAUGUUGUAAAUAAACUUUGGGUGUAUUCCUAAGUCCAUUUCUUGUAUGCUUUUCUUUUUUUAAUAAUUUGGGCCCCUAUAUUGAGUACAAUAGUGAAACUCCCUAUAAAAUAUCAUCGUAUAUUUUGGAAAUUUGCUUAAGAAUAAGCUUCUAUCUAGUUUGCUUUAAAAUAAAUAAUUAUAAAUAAUACAAAAGUACGUCCCUGUUUGGUAUCUUACUAAAAAAAUUAACUCAAAAAUUAUAAUUCUUUUUAAAAAGAUGUGUUUUCAACUAGUAAUUUUAAGAUCUAAAAACUUCUUUGGUAUCAAACUCCAAACUAUUUUUAAGAUCUAAACAAAAUUAAAAUUAAAAUUAAAAUAAAAAAACCCUAGAUUUCCAAAUUGAAAUUAACAAAAGAAAAGAAAAACAUGUGAGCUUUCAAUUGAAACCCUAAAACCCAAAACAUGAAAAAAGAUUAAUCAAUUUGGGGUCAAGUAGUGGACGAAGGAGACCUCGAUAGAGCUGUAAACGAAGGUUUCGACUCAGAGCCACACUCCCAUGUGUUUUAUAGAGCGAGAGAGAGAGAGAGAGAGAGAGAGAGAGAGAGAGAGAGAGAGAGAGAGAGAAACUAUAAAACUUCACUUUUUUUUGUUUUCAAUAAUAGGGUUAUUUUUUUAGUUUGUUUUGGGUUUGGGUUUUUUUAAAUGGGCUUACUAGGAUUUUUUAAGCUUUGGACUUAAAAUAUAGUUUUUAAUUUAUAAAAUUGGAUUCAAGUAUGACAUCAAACGGGCCCUACAUAUUCUGUGAAAUUUGAGACGACAACCUUCAAUAUUUUAAGGAUCAAAGCAAAAUAAGAACCAAAAAAAAAUUUGAUCAAGGGAUAGUCAUCCUCAUCAUAAAAUAAAAUCAUUUAAAAAUCCUACAACUAAUGAAAUUGCACAUGUAAUUCAUAUUAAAAAGUGAAGUAAAUCACUUUCUUGAUACACCAUUGUUAAAGUUGUUUAGGAGUUAUUCUGGAUAGGCCAAAAAACACUUCUAUGGAGAAUUACUUCUCUAAAUAAUCACUUUAGAUAGUUUUAAGUGAUUUUAUGGAGAAACACAUGGGAGUUGCUUCUACCCAAAAUCACUUAGAUGGAGAAGCACAUGGGAGGUGUUCUCCCCAUAAAUGAUUUUGGCCUAUCCAUAAUCAUUCCCAAAAAACUCGUUUAUUAUUCGAGUUUUUAUUAAAAAUAGCAAAAAUUUAUCCCUACUUUCAAAUGUCAGUUUUUAUAAAAACUUUCAACAAUAGCCAAAAACUCAGCUAAAUAGACUUAGAUACCCUUAAAACUAAAACCCACAUAAACA